RNAcentral lists this long non-coding RNA (65453 nucleotides) under Eucalyptus grandis. RNAcentral's name for it is "long non-coding RNA (EGRA_LNC006168)". The record is from RNAcentral. Lineage: Eukaryota; Viridiplantae; Streptophyta; Magnoliopsida; Myrtales; Myrtaceae.
UUCUGCCAAAAUUAACAUGUUUGUUGUCUUGAGGUCUCUGUGGAUGAUGGGCGGCUUGCAACCAUUAUGCGGACAAUCCAAACCUGCAAUAUCUGCAAAAUCUCCGUUAACUAUGCAGAUAAUUGCUUGCUAUAUUUGAAUAAUCUGGACCUCUGCGUCUCUUCUUUAGAUUCCCCAAAUGUUACCAAUGAGUACUGCAUCACAACUUUUGAAGUUCGCCAAGCAGACUUUCAAGGUAAAUUUCCCUAAGAUAACGGCUUUACUAUCUGUUUAUCAUGCGUAUGGCUGCAAUUCUUGUCUGUAUAUUCUCUCGCUUUCUUGUAGGAUCACCUUGUGACUUGCGAGAACUUACAAGGAAAACAUGGUUUCAAGGGACACAGUGGACUCUCGUGAAGGUAAAAACAGACUAGUUGCCACCUUGUCUUUCUUAAUGAAACUAUCCUAGAAAUGUCAUCAAACAUCUAUCGACAAGAAGCAGAAGAAGAAGUCACCCCUGAUCUGUUUCCUUUCGAUCAACCAAAUUGUAGCCAGAGCACACAAGAGCACUGUAGAAGGCUGAAACUGAUGCAAUGACCGGAUGGAGAUGGGAUUUUCAUUCUUCUGUAGGCAACGAUCUGGCAGGCCAAGAUCUGGGUUGCCGUUCUAGCUUAAAAAAAAAAAAAAAGGUAAGUAGCUGGACUUAAAGUGCUCUGGUAGCUUUUUGCAGACAUGUUCAUCGCAAUAAAACAUGCGGAUGAUUUUUCCCCUCUAAAUAAAGCUAUGAAAGAAAGAGCAGAAGAACAAGCCUCAAGUUCAAAGUCUAGUCCGGUAACCCUUUUCAUGAGAAGAUAAAUGGAUACACUCACACAUCAGUAUGAGCUAUACUGAUGCCUGGAAUUGAGGUAUGAGUUAACUAAAGCUAAUUAAUUGAAACAGCUAAUGAAAAGCUUUACUUUUUUCGGCUCAUCUGCCUAAAUUAUUCAUUACUGAAAAUUUGAUCCAGUGUUAAGGGAAUGAUAAUUUAUUGGCUUCCUGUUUCGUUCGUAGUUUCAUGCUCUUUUUUUUAUUUUCUUGAUCCAAUAUUGACUAUAGCGGCUUGUGGAACAUAUAUAACCAGUCGCGAGCAAACCGAUCUUAGGAAGUUAUGCCCUGAUUAAAUUCAUCUCUCUAGUUCAAGACUUAUAAAGAUCCAAGUCAAUCUCGAUAAUAUAAUCUAAAGAAGUUGCGCGUCGGCUUGGCUUGACUAAUAAAAUGGAAGAAUUUUUGGCGCUAGCAUUAAGCUUUUGUGUUCAUUGCUUUCGUUGUCUGACUGAAAAAAGGGUCUGCCAAAUCCCCCGACGAAAACGGAAAUAAUUUUCUUUUAAACGGAGGAUCUGUUUUCACAAAAUCUUGCACGCCCUCCGCAUUAAUUUCUGCAAAAGACAAAAAAAAAGGAGUUUCAAGAAAAUAGUACGUAAGAAACUCUACGAGUAAAAACCGCCACGACCUCAAUCAAUUUGAUAAGCAGUUUCAAGAACAAAACUCGGGGUGAAAAAUGGGUUAUGGACCUGUUUUUGGACUCGUAUUUUAUUUAUAUGGAUUGCAUAUAGGUCAAAUAUUUUUUAAGACCUAACUAAAACUAGGUCUAAAAAGUGAGUCUAAUUUAAACGAGUCAAAAAUGGAUCAAAACUUAUGACCCAUUUUUGACCCAUUUAAAUUUUUAAGCGACCCACUAAACAAAAGUGCAGGGGAGAUGACAACCUAUUUUUGUCAUGCCCUAAUCCUCGAGCGCGCACCCAUCCCUCACUGGUCAAUUAAAAAGCGACGUCCCUGGACGCAUCGCCAACCCAUUCUUUUUAACAUGCAUAAGGAAGCAUAUAAAUAAUCCCUAGACAAUAAAACAAUGGGAUAGGGAAGAGGGCCAAUUUUUCACAAAAUACCUUUUUAUAAACACACAAAUCUAUACACAAAGGUUUACAAAAGGGAUCGGCUCCCAACAAAAGAGAAUUGUCCUACGACUAGCUAGUCGGACAAGAUCGCCGAUUCUUUAGGCUUCACCUCCUAAACUCCGGUGCUUCUGGUCCUCCACCAACACCAUCUAAGGACCUGAAAAUGGUUAUACAAUAACCAAUGAGACAAAGUCUCAGCAAGUUCAACUCCCUAAGACUCAAUUAGGAAGAAAAUACGCUUUAAGGGCUGCCUAAGCACAACCAUGAGUUGGAGGUCUUACCUUUGCCUCUAUUCCUUCCUACAAGUCAGUUCAAUUCAUAAACUCGCAAUCAUGACACUCAAUCAAUUCGGAUCGACUCAUCAAUCAAUCGACCUAGUCGAUUACUUGUCAAUCAAAUCAUUCCUCGGUCAUUCCAGUCAAUAUUAUCUAUUCUCCAAGAUGACAUAUCAAGUCAUUGAGCUAGUAUAAUAUAGUGUCUUUCUCCGAAAUGACAUACCGAGUCACCGAGCCGACAUAAUAUACUAUUCAUUCUCCAAGAUGACAUAUCAAGUCACCGAGCCGGUAUAAUAUAAUGUCUUUCUCUAAGAUGACAUAUCAAGUCAUCGAGCCAACAUAGUAUAAUGUCUUUCUCCGAGAUGACAUACCGAGUCAUCAAGCCGACAUAAUAUAUGCCUUUCUCCAAUAUGAUAUACCAAGUCAUCGAGCCAAAGUUCGUUCUCUAACAAUUUCUCACUUUUUAUCAUACUCGAUGAACUAGCCGUGUGUGGGUACACGAUUGACCUUAGCCAAAAUAUAAUAAUUUCCUUGCCAUGAAUCGCACCAUUUUCUAUAGUCCACCAAAAUUUUUUUAGCGUUUUAAACCGACGCUCAGUUAUUUUCUAAACAAUUACCAAAAUUGAUUAAAUUAGGAAUAAAAUCCUAAAAUCACAAUUAAAUCAAUUCGACACAAAUUAGAACUCAAUUAAAUAAAGGAACCACACCACAAUAAUCAACAUAAAAUUUCGGUCAUCCGCUAUCCCAGUCUAAUUUUCGAAAAAUAAAUAAAUAAAUAAUUAAUUAAUUACAUAAAAUAUUAAAUAAAUGCUAAUAAAUCAACUUAGGCUCGGAAAAGCCUAAUUGAACACCGAAAUGGACCCGAAAAAUUUCUGAGUCACUCUAGAUAAAUACUAGAGCUCGUCUAGGCUCUAAUUUUACUAACCAACCACCUAACAUGCAUCGGCAGAUAAUUAAAUUAACUAAUCUAAUCUAAUCUAUUCACAUUAAACCGUGCUUAAUUUAAUCUAAUUAACCAUUAAGCAUCGUUAACCUACUAAGUGGGGAUUAGUGAGUUAAACUCACUUGUUUUGCGAUCCAAUCGGCUCAAAUUGACGGAGACGUGACGGGGCUCACUUCUCUCCAAAGCGGGCCCAACUUUUAGGGUCGGGAGAGCCCUCAAAACGGGCCAAACAGUGCCUUGAAUACCCACUGUUCUUCGGUUCUGAGCUGUGGAGAUCAGGGCUGCUUCGGUGGCUGAUUGGGGGAGACAAAGCUAACAGUGGACGGGCGGAGCUGCAUCGGCCUAGGCAGGGCUGACCGGCGGCGAUAUGGCAGUGCAUGGGCUCCGGCUAAGCUUGACCAGACUUGAGGAACACCGACUAGGUUGCACGGCGAACAGAAACAACAUGCAACGGUGGCGACUCCAGCUAUGGCGUGCGAUGGUUCUGCCUGAGCUGCUAGCUUCUCCGGUGACUUUUCUGGACUGUUGGAACGUCAAGUAGCAAGAAGAGAGGAGGGGGAAGGAGUGUCAAUGGGCUGAGGGGGAGAAGAAGGAGAGAGGAGGCAAGGGGGGGCCACCUGGUCACUUUUUCUCUCCAAAUGUCUCCUUGACCAAUCCUUCUUUCAUGGCUGGCUUCCACAACACAAUUGCAGUAUCCUUGGCUUCCUCAAGAAGUCUUGAAAGGGUCCAAAAGGUUGGGUCCAUGGGGUGCUAUGAAUUUGCAAGGAUUUCCCCUCCAAUUGAACUCCAUUCUUUCUUAAUCCAUCACAAACCGGCCUAUAUAAAUCAACCGACGCCUCAUUGAUCCAAUUGUUAUUUUUCCUCACCAAUUAGUCUCACUUGUUUCCCAAUUUUGCGAUAAAAAACGAUCCCUGACUUUUUUUGGACAAAAACGGCCUAGGACGACUUUUUCCCAAAAAGUCUCAAUUUGCAGAAAAAUAUUCUGAGACUGAGUUGACGCUCCUAUAAUUAAUUGUGACAUGAAAAAAAUUUUAAUUUCUGAAAUCGGACUCAAAUUUACAGUUAAUUUUCAUUCGGCACGAUUUUAGCAUGAUCUAAGCUAUCGGGUAACUUUCAGAAUUUUUUAAUGCAAAUGACCUAUGGUCGAUUUUCUUCGAGCCACAAUAAACUCACUGAACACAUUUGCGACUCUCGGUUGUCAUGAAAUUCUCGAGGAUUUAAAUAUGGACACAGGAUACCAAAACGAUAGAAAAAUCAGUCUAGUAUCAGCCGACGAGAAUUUUCCAAUUUAGUGGUGUCACCCACGAUUAGCCACACAUCUCAGUCCAACCGACCUAUCUCUGAUCUCAAAUCGAUUUGUAACUGUGCCAUAAUGGCCUCCAAAGAUGAGCACGGUUGAGAAGCCAAUUCCUACUCGAAUUCUCAAGUCUAUUUGCCUUAAAAUCCUUAAUGGCUUCCUCAAAUAGUCUAGUUAUCUCGAGAGUGAUCAGCUCUGAGAACAGCCCUAUAAACACGUCAAUGAAACAUCUGAUUUAUUCAAUAGAAAAUAGAAUUGAAAAUCUGGGAUAUCACAAUUUUCUAUCAUCCCUGUCGAUGACUAAAAGACGAAUGCGAAAGAGACGGCUAGGAUUUGCAGAUUUUGCGGUCAACAUUUUAGCCACUGCUAGCGUGACGACACCUGGGACGGUUUCGGAGGAGGGAUGGAAUCGCGAACUGUCCGUUUGACCGAGAAUGGGUGGCUCUUCUGUCCCGUCCUCCGCCCCCGCGAGCGCACUCCAUCGUCGUUCCAUCCCAUCCCCCGUCGAGUUUAGCAGAGCGCGCCCAGAGCACCAAACUGCCGCGCGAUUUCAAAGCUGAUAGAAGUCAGAAGUUCGCUUCUUUGACUCGAUUCGCGUUGCAUGGAUCAUCGUUCUCCUUACACGUUUCGAUGAAAGAACUUCAACAUUAUUACUGUAUAAUUUUAGGAAGAUGUUUUCAUGGUCUUUUAUUAUUAAAUUAGAAACAAGAAAAAACUUGCGUAUCAUAACGAAGACUAGAUAAAUUACAAGAUGUUAUAUGAAAAUCGCUAUCUUGUGUAAUUACGUAAUUUUGUCAUUGAUUCGUGCUAUCUAAAAUAUCACGGUACUUUUAUCCCUCCUUAUGUGAACAUGGAAUGAACUGGAUGCAAUCAUGGCAUAUACACAAUGCUCGACAUGUGUUAAGAUAAUCCUAGACUUGUAGGAGCAAGAGGUUUAUUCUGAAAUGAAGGGGGUGACUGGCUUGACUAUAUUGCAAAGGAAUAUUACAAUAUGAGUUGUCCACAUUAGCAAUGACAGUCUACGUCAGUGAUUUCCAACCAAAAUUGUGAUUUCCAAUCAAAAUUGAUCAGAUAGUCUCAAUUAGCAAAAUAUGAAAAUGUUUAGACUCAAUUAAGAAAAUUGAAAGAUUUGCAAUAUAUUGAGAACUUUUUGGACAAUUUUUGCAUGAAUUCCUUUGUAAGAUAGGGUGAUUAAAUUUAAUGAGGAAUCGUGAGGACCAAACAAUGCAAUUGGGGACUGAAAAUACUAAGGUCGUUUGACUGAUUUAAAUAUCAUUUCAAUGUCCAUUUUAUUGCUCAAUCAAUAGUAGAAUCAUGUAGUACCCUUCUCAUGGAAUUAGUCACACUAAUCGAAUCACUUAAUUCGGGUGUUCUAUAUUUUCUUUUGUUUUGUUUAUUUUAUUAUUCGAUCACCGAAGCACAUUUGCCGUAACCAAUGGUUAACGUAGAACCAAUUUCUGGAACCAAUCUGUAUUAAAGUAACAUUUGUACUCUCGAACGUGAAAUGAACCAAGCUGUUGUCUGGUCAAUGACGACCGUCGUGAAAUGAACCAAGCUGUGUGUCGCACACCAAGGAAAAUCAAGAUUUUCUAACGCGAAACAUGGGAGCGUGGGUAAUCAAGAAUCUGUCCUUUUUGUGAAUGUGAACAUGAUCAUUUUUCUCCAAGUCCAGCUCAAUUGAGGUCACAAGACAACCAUGAUGGAUCAAUCAAUCCUAAUCAAAUUCCGUUUAUUUAAUGAAGGAUUCGAAAAAUAUUCUCUUAAAAAGAUAAUAACUUAUAUUGCUUAUAAAAAUAAAUGAACGAAAAAAAUUUCAGUCAUUGACUAUAGUCAAUAAUCAAAACUUUUUUUUACUGAUUAUUUCAAAUAAUACAAAUGAUUAUUUUUAGUAAAAUAUUUUCAAAAUUAUCCACUCUCCAUGGAACAAAUGGAGCGUAGGAUCAAAUCUUUCUUAUGUUGUUAAUAUGUGCACAUCGACAAAAAGGGACUGCGUCAAUCAUUCAAAAUGCAUUUGGUUUAAAGGAUUUUGCCUUGGAGCUUGAUUUGGCUUGGCAUCUUGAAAAGUAAAUUGUGAAUUGCUUGACUAGCCCGAAUAUUGCUCUCUUCGUUUAUGGUAAUGAAUUUGACAAAGCUUUCGGGCCCCUAGGAAAAAGAAAAUAAAAACUAAAAGAAGCGUACUUUAUCGGACAAGAACGUUAUCUAAUUCUGUGCCAAGAAUUUUUGUUUAGAGAGACGAAUCAAGAAACUUUGUUUCAUUUUAUAUAUCUAUAAACUUUACUCUUAAAGUUGUGUUAUAGUGUAGAUUAAUUAGUCAACUUUCAAAUAAUAUGAGUGAUCCUUUUCAGAAAAUAUUUUUUUCAAAUCAUUCAUUUUUCACAAAAUAAACAGAACUUAAGAUAAAAUAAUAACAAUUUGAUUGUAAACUUAAUACGUCUAUACAUGUAAUCUCUAACCAUAAUUUCAUUUUGACCAAAACGAGACUGUAAUUUCAUCAAUUAUCCUGGUUUCUUGUCAUGAUUUAUUUUUUUGAAUGAUUAUCUUCAGGUUGUGGUGUUUUGUAUACUAAGAUGAAUUGCAUGUGAAUAAUAAAAUACUGAUUUUGUAAUUUCAUGGGUUUGCCUUUUGUUCGUAGCGAAAAUGCGGAAAAAUGUCGAACAUGAGUCGUUAUAGUCGACCUUUUAGCGAGAAAGGAGUCAUUUUGGCCGUUUUCUGUAGUUUCAAUCACGAGAAACAUCCCUCCUGCUUUGAAAUUUUUGGAGUUCCAAUCUUGCACAUUACCGAACCAACGACGACUGUUAUUUAGAAUAUGUCAAACUAUACUACUUAAAUCAACAACAUAGACAUAACGAAAUGUGAUGUGGUUUUUGCCCCCACGUCAAAGGGCAUGGAACUGUGGAAGUGGGCUUGUCCUCUCAAUUCGUAUUAAUAUUAAGAGCCUCCACUAGCGUGACAGUCGUAUUAAUAGAUGGUUGAAGGCCAUCCUCGCUAUUGUGGCCACCGAACUCACUUGUGGCUUGUUCUUGGGUUUCCAGGGCCAUCAUCCCGAAUUUCUUUGAAUCCUCCUGGUCUUCGCUGGUGUCAUGAUAUGAGCUUUGAUAACGACUAGAUACUCUGGUAGGUCCUAGCAUAAUUCCCUCAUUUAAAUCAUCCAGAGAAAGGUUUCCUUCCAAUGCUCGAACUACCUGUUUACACAAAGCUCAUAUAUUAUUCCACACUUGUAGAACAAUUUGCAUUAAUCGGUCAUGUCAAAAAGUGAGUUGUAGCAAACUAAGACACUGAAAAUAGUGUUUUUCUUUUCCUUUUUUCUGGCUCAAAUGAAGUGAUAACCCAUGAUUUUUCAUUUGUAGGAUAAGCAAAACCAUUGGGUAGAGCAUACAAAUGUGUCUAAAACAAGGGGAAAAAAAAGGAAGAAGAAGCACCCAUUCUGGUAUUAAAACAAUGUACUUUCAACUAGGCAAUGUACCUGUGUCAUUCGUGGACGUUGUCGUGCAAAAUGAUGAACGCAAGCAGCAGCACAAGCAAUCAUCCGAGUCAUUUCCUCGGUAACGUAGUCCUUGUUUAGUUUUGGAUCAACUAUGACAUCAAAAUUGCCAUCUUCUAAAGCUUGUGUGAGCAAAGGCCUUGCCUAAAAUUUUAUUAGAAGAGUCAACUCUAUAACAACAUUCACAGUGGAGAGAGGAAAACAAGGAGGGAAAUGAUAAAUAAUGAUAGGCCACAAGUAAAUAUGUUGCUGACAAACCCAAUUAACCAAGCUAUGCUCAUCACUGGGUAGAGUUACGUCAACCGAACGACGCCCUCCGAUCAACUCUAGAAGCACAACACCAAAAGAAAAAACAUCUGCUUUCUCAGUGAGAUUCCCACUAGUGGCAUAGUCUGGAGCCAGGUAGCUGUGCAUUAGGUAGACUUACAUUAGCAAAAGAUAACAAAACUAAUAUAUGCUUAGACAGGAAAUGAAUAAACUCAACUAUCAUUAGUGUAGAGAAUAUUUCUCGAUUUUGAACCUAUAAAGAAAACCUCGUCGAAGUAGAUUUUUUAGUUUGAGUAAAUUUCCCAAUCUGAAUGAGUUUUCUAAUUUUAGUUGGCCAAAGGAGAUUUCCUGCUUUGGAUAUAUAUGUGUCUAAAGGAGGCAGAUUUUGGUUUUCGCACACUAGAGUGGAUAGAGGAGCUUUUGGCCACAACAAUCAAUUGUGUGGCAUGCUUGUCAAUCACAUUUUGAGUAAAUUGUGAGUAUAGUGAACCAAUAAAUCUUAUUCAUCCGAGUUGUAAAUUUUUUGACUAAGAUAUUGUUUCUCGAGAAAUUGUGACAAUUAAACAAUGUAUGAACUAUUGAGUAUAAUUGGGGGUUAAGGAACAUUGGGACUGUUUGAGUUAUUCAACUGUAGUUGUAAUCUCAAUUAUAUUACUUGAUCUAUAGUUGAAUGUUAUGCAACCCUUCUUUUGGAGUAGGUUCCAUUGAUCAAAUCCAUGUAAAUUUGGUAUCUAAUUUAUUUCACUGUUAUCUUUAUUAUUGUGUUUGAGUGUAUGUUUUUUGCAAUAACUAAUAUUAUAGCUAGGUUUAAAUGAGUUGAAGAGCAAAAGUCAUUUGAUUUGAUGGGAAUGGUUUCAGUUUCUAGAAAAUGUAGUUGAUUAUAUCAAAUGAAUAUGCACUUUUUCCUAUAAGGGGAGAUGAAGCAAGCUGAUUUGAAUUUGUUGGAUAGACAAGCGUUAGUAGUUAUUUAGCUAAAGUGGGCUCAUAAUGUUGCAUUUACUAUUGAAAGAGAUUGCUACAAUCUUGAUUAAUGCCAUGUCAAACAUUUACAAAAGUCCUCUAUGAUAAGCAAGAUCAACUUGGUGUGACAUUUGUUCUAGCUAAAAAUAAGCAAUGUGUGUUAGUUGCAAAGCAUGUGGUUGCUUGUCAACUGAGUUUGGUUGAAAUUAACUUUGAUAAUGAGAUACGUGCUUUAAUUCUAUUAUCCUCGUGGCUCACUAGUUAGAAUACUACUAUCAUUGCAAUAAGCAAUUAAUCUGGUUCAAGAAACUUAAUGUUUGAUGAGGUUCACAAAUUGAUUUUAAAUAAAGACAUCCAUAAAAGAGAAUCGGGCGAACCCCUGCCUAAUUGUAUAGUAAGUUAAGGUAGAAGAAGAACUAAUAUUCAUGUUAGUAGGAAUAAUGUGAACCAAAAAAGACGGAAUCAGUUUAGAAUUGUGGUAUUGUCUAUUGGAAUCGUUGCAAGAGAGUGCAUCUCAAAAUGGAUUUCCUAGCCGAAGAAUGACAGCAGUAAAGGAAUUAGAGUCUAGUCUAUCAAUGAUAUUGCUACAAUAGCUUACGGUAACUUAGAUAGUGUUGAUUAUGUUGUGCUUGUCACUAAGGAUUUGUUAUUUGAUGGUUAGGUUAUAGAUCUAGUUGCUUAUUUCACGCUAUAGCAAACAUGAACUAUAUUACUACUUAUUAGUGCACGGAUAGUGGUGAAAUGAUGUUAAGGAAUAAUGCUGACUGCGAUGUUGUGAGACACAUUCCAGAAAUAAGUCGAACUUGAUUUCUUGCGUGCUCUACAUUCAACUGGGUAUCGAUGUACUUCAAAAAGUAGAGUUUUGAUAGUUGUUGCCAUGGUAAUUAUAAAAUGAAUAGAGCACUAUUGCCUAUAUGGGAUCAAGGGGAGACGAUAACAAAUUUCACCACGGACAUUGGAUGAAUCGGUACAAGAUUAGUUGCCUAUGCAUUUAAGGAACACUACGGAGAGAAGCCUGGAAGUUUUGAAUAAAAGGAAUUUGAUGUGUGGUUAUGUGGCUAAAAAAAUUAAAUGUAUGCAGGUGCUAUAGCUUAGGCAAAUGGCUAAAAGCGCAAUUCUGUAUGACUGCAGAGAAAUCACAAAGAUUGUAGAGUUGAUUCACUUAAAUGUGUGCAAGCUAUCAUAUUUUCCUUCGAGGACGAGUACCAAUUGAUGCUAACAAUUGCAGAUCACUACUCGAGGAAGAUUUGAGUGUUUGUGUGGAGGUGCAAGUUGAAUAAUAUUGUCAGGAUUAGAUGGUUGAGAGCUUUGAGCGAAAUGAAGGCUGGUACAACAAUUUGUGGACUGAUAGUAACAUGGAGUUUUACUCAAAGUAGUUGAACAAAUUCUACGUGAAGGAAAGAACAAGUUGCAAAGUUAAUGAGGAGAACAUUACUAGGAAUAGUCCAUAAAAUGCUUUCUAGUGUUGAAAUGGCUAAGAAAUUUUCAACAAAAUGCGCUUAAUACAGCGAGCUACUAGAUGAAUAGAUCUCCAUUGACUACUAUUUGAUACUAGACUCCUGAAAAAGUAUGGUCAGGUAAUUGAUUAUUUUGUUCUUAAAAUAUUUGGUUACAUAUGUUAUAUUCAAGUGAGUGACGAUAAGAUCAAUGGCAUGGCAAGAAAGUAUAUAUUCCUAGGUUAUGCAUAAGGUGAGCGGGGCUAUCAAUAUGUGGUACCUAGAAUUAUAUUCACUUAUUGCUGAUAGUAAAAUUAUAUUGAUGAGAAUCCAACAUUGUUAUGUAGGAAUAAUUGUGGUAGUAUUUUUGUAGAUUUGGCUAGUGUUCAACUCAAGAUGGAAUUGCAACCCGUAACUCUUGAGGUAGCAAGUACUUGUGUAGUAGAUAACACAUAUUCUACUUGUAACGAGGUCCAGUUAUCAACUCUAGAAGCACUACGCCAAAAGAAAAGACAUCUGAUUUCUCAGUGAGAUACCCACUUGAGGCAUACUCUGGAGCCAGGUAGCUGCACUAGGUAGACUAAAAUUAGCAAAAGAUGAUACAACCAAUAUAUGCUCAGAGAGUAGGGGUGAUAGAUUCUAGGGCAAGCUAGUUCCUAGUUUGUGGAACCAUGAACUAGUCCAACUGGUCCUAGACCCAACCAGGAACCAUACUAACUGGUCCGAUCCGUCUGAUCCAAUUCUUAGGUGGAUGAAGAAACCGGCUCUUUUUUUAUUUUUUUUCUCUUUCCCCACAAUAUUUCAAGUGUCAUUGCAUAGUUUAAACCGAUACAUGAGUCUAAACGUAAUUAUCAUCUCCGUGAACAAAGUUAUAAUGAUCAUCAAGAACCACGUCUGAUAGGCAUCAAGUCGCAAUGGAGGCAGCGCUGUGUGUAUGAGACUAAGAGAAGUGAGAGUGAGAGUCUUGACCAACGAGCAUGCAUGAUUGAGUCUAAGCAAGAAAAGAAUGAGAAUUUGAUUUUGGAAAUAUGGAAUAAUAAGAAUUUAAAAAUUAGUCUCAUCCAAGUGGUUUGAGUGGGUGUGUUCACACAUAGAACCGGGAACUGAACCGAUAUUCAUCGGUUCCUAAUUUCGAGAACUUCCCAAAACUAAUUGAUACGGUCUGAUUCCCAAUUCAAUCUGAUUCUUUUCCUCACCCCUAGCAAUUAGAGUUAGUAUCUCGAUAAGGUUCACUGUUAUGAUGGAGUUCAAGCGUGGCUUGGACUUAAAAGAUUCUUGUGAAGUGUGAGCCCAUGAGGGGCUGUGGAAGAGUAGCGAUGAUAAGUUUCCAUCAAAGCGAUUGUGAUUGGCCAAACCUUGAGCAAAAGUAGAGAUUGUUGAUAAUAAGUUACAUAUUUGAGCCUAUAUAGGAAAUUCGAUCCAAGUGAGUUUCCUAUUUUAAAUAGGUUUCUUAGUCUGAGUGGUUUCCUAGCUUGAGUAGAUUUCCUAGUUUUAGUCAGCUAAAAGGGAUUUCUAGUUUGGAUUCAAAUAUAUAUAUAAGAUGGAUUUUGGCUUUUGCACAGUAGAAUGAGCAAAGGAACUUUAGGUCGUAAUAAUCGAUCAUGUCGUGUGCUCGUGAAUUAUAUCUUAAAGAAAUUGCAAGUGUCGUGAAGCCAAUGAAAAGAUUGAAAGAUAAUUUCGUAAAGAAUUAUGAGAUAUUUUUUUAGAGUGUAUUUGAGUGACUCAACUAUACUUGUGAUAACUAUUAUAUCGCUUGUUUUAUAGUAAAAUUCUAUACUAGUCUCCCCAUGAAAUAGGUCCUGCCAACCGAAUCUAACCGAACCAUGUAAAGUCAGUAUCUGAUUUAUUUCCAUGUUCUAUUUAUUAUUAUUACUUGUUUUUUACAACAUUUAGAACCAAUUUAGACGAACCACAUGCAAGAUAAAUAGCCUUACCCAAAAGUUCCCAUUACUCGAGUAAAUACAUGAGUAUCUGUAUCAGAAGCAAACUUUGCAAGUCCAAAAUCUGCAACCUAAAAUCAAAAUGUCAACCUUUAGAUUCAUAUCCAAAUAGCUUCACACUACAAGAUUAGAUUAUGCAUUAAAAGUUCAUCAUAACUCCAAAAUAAUUUCAAGACUAAAACUCUAUUAUUUAGCUCUCCAAAUGAUUUCAUCAAGAAAUCAACUUUUGGAACCUAAAGAUCUUUUGCCAUUUCUCUUGGCUUCGGCUUAUAAGAGGAUGUUGGAGGGAUGCAAAGCUUUUCAAGAUAUGGAGCAGUUCGCUAGCUUAAGAAGCUAACUGAAUAAUGUGGUAGUGAAUUCUAUAAACAAUUUAGAUGAUCGAUAUUAUCAUGUAAUGAUUAAAUAGUUGCGCAUUGUACCUUUGCCUCAAAAUUAGAUUCCAAAAGAAUAUUAGCAGCCUUGAUGUCACGAUGAAUGAUUCUGGGAUUACCUGAUAAGUGAAUCCAAUAAAAAACGAACUGCGAAACUUAUCAUAAGUAUAAGGUUUAAAAGAUCGUACUCACAUUCCUCGUGUAGAUAUGCCAACCCCCUUGCAGAACCUAAAGCAAUCUUCAUCCUCAUAGGCCAAGUCAUAGUUGGGCGAUCCUUCCCUGCAAUGACAUUUGCCAGUUCCAACGAUUAUAAUGUUUUCAAUAAGCCAAAAUAACUACACAUACUUUGUAGCCUACGCAUGCGCAUUGCAGUGGAGAUCAAGUUAGCUGAUUAUUAUGAGAUUCCACCAAAAUCACCUGAGAUUUUUUUUUUUUCCCUUUUUUAUACAUUUUAGUGGACUUUUGCCACUUACCUGGAAAAGGCUAGGCAAUUGUCGUCGUCACUAACAACAGCAUUUGGAAACAGUGAUCCAAUUUGAUUAAGAGAAAAAUGAAAUUCAACAUAAUCCCAGCAUACUGCCAGAUAAACAACUUUGAUAUACAAAUCCCUUACUCCAGAAUAGAGGGAACAUAUAGACGAGUCCACAAUUCCAGCAGCACUUAAAAAAGGCAUUGACCAUAGAAUAUCAAAGUUGUAUGGUAGCUAGAGUCCAUAAGAGAGAGAGAGAGGGCAUCAUCGGAUGAAAGAUGUACAUGUAUUCCUCUAAAGUCAUACUCACCGUGCAAAUGAAAUUCCAAUGUGCCAUUUGGAACAAACUCAUAUACCAAAAUUCUAUGAGGACCAGAAAUGCAGUAACCAAUAAGUGACACAAGGUGUCUGUGAUGAAUACGGCUAAUGAUCUCGACCUCUGCUUGAAAUUCCCUCUCUCCUUGUCCGCUUCCAGGUUUUAACUGCUUGAUUGCAACUACUUUCCCGCUCGAAAGUACUCCUUUAUGAACAUAGCCAAAACCACCUUGGCCAAGUAGGUGGAGAUUGGAGAAAUCAUCUGUUGCUAUUUUUAGUUCAUCGUAUGUGAAUGUGUUCUGUGCAAGACCUAAUGCCAUCCCUGGAGAUGAUACCGAAGGUUUUAAUGAACGCAUAUCUGUUAUUGAGAAUGGCUCAGAAGGAGUUAGACUUCAGGAACUCGACAGAAUAAAAUUACGAAGAAUUUACGAAUUUUAAGAGCUCGCAGUCAAGCAUAGAAAUCUCACCUGUAGGCCCCUGUGGAGGAUAACUCCCCGACUCAAGCCGCCUCCUCUUCCUUCGAUAUAGAAUCACGGAUAUGCACACCCCAACCAGCACAAUGAGCCCCCCAAUCCCAAUCCCCACUAUCAGCGCCAGCUUCCACGGCGGCAACCCCCCGUUCAGAGACGCCGGUGGAGGAGAGGUGGAAGUAGUCGGAGGACUCACCAGUGGGAGAGGACUUGGCGGCGGGGCGUCCACUGCGGGAGGACUUGACGGAGAACUUGACGGUGGGGCGUCCACUGCGGGAGGACUUGACGGGGAACUUGACGGCGGGGCAUCCACUGCGGGAGGACUUGACGGCGGACUUUCAAUUAGGGGAGGACUUGGCGCCGGGGCGUCAACUGCGGGAGGCGGGGGGUUCACUAGGGGAGGACUUGGCGCCGGGGCGUCUACUGGGGCCGACAUCGACCCUGGGAGGACUUGGAAAGGGGUCGUCAACUGUGGGAGGACUUGGUGGCGGGGCGUCUGUGGGAUAUCCACGCACCGGCGGGGGAGGACUUGCCGUCGAGGCGUCACCUGUGGGAUACACCACUGUCAUCGACGAGUGAGCCACCUGGCUCGCUGUUGGGACUUCAACAGAGGCCACCAGAGGCCCACGAGAUCGAUGCGUACGACGUUGCCCGGAGUGGAAUGAAAAUUAUUUUCAAAUAUUUUUGGGGAAGUUUUGGACGGAUGAAGUUCGAGUGGAUGACUGACAGCCGGAAAAGUGAGGGCAAAAGCUGGGAGGAGCAUCCCAUAAAUAUGUUCUAAAAUUUCGUAUCUUUACAAAAAUCAGACUGUAGGAAUCGUAUCAUUUAAAAAAUGAAAAAUAUCACGAACAGUCCCUAAACUUUCACUUAAUGUAUAACCUCGUCCAUAGACUUUUAAUUUGUUUAUUUUGGUCCCUGAAUUAUCGAUAAAUGUCCGAUUUAGUCUCUGACUAUUUGAAAAUUGACCAAUUUCGUCCCCGAGCUUUUGAUUUGCUCAAUUUGGUCCCUGAACUAUUAACAAAUGUUCCAUCUAGUCCUUCCGUUUGUUCAAACCGUUAAGUGAUGAUGUGGAGCAUUAAUUGAUGACGUGGAACUAAAUUGGAUUACUAGAAUUAUGAGUCAAUAUAUAUCUUGAAAAAUAAAAACAAAUUAGGGGUCAGUUAGAGAUCAGAGCACUGAUCACAAAAGCAAAGAGAAGAAAUGGUUCUAUAUCUUUUUUUUGGACGGUGGCCACAAUUUGACUUGUUUUAAAGGUAAUUUCCAUGUGGAUAUUCCACAUGUCCUUUUUUAUUUUAUAUUUAAGAGACUAAAAGCCAUGGAAGCCAAUUUCGUUAACUUUAACUAACAGAAUGACAAAAUUGGUCAAUUUUCAAAUAGUCAGGGACUAGAUCGGACAUUUAUCGAUAAUUUAGGGACCAAAUUGAACAAAUUAAAAGUCUAGGAACGAGAUUGCACAUUAAGUGGUAGUUCAGGGACCAAAUUGAGCAAAUCGAAAGCUCAGAGAUGAAAUUGAACAUUAGAUGAAAGUUCAAGAACCAUUUGUGACAUUUUCCCUAUAAAAAAAUAAUAUAUAUAGUCUUGAAGGUUAAAAUCGUAUUUCACCUCAAAUAGAUAUGGUCUAAAUUAGGCUGCUAGAUGAAAAUUUUGCAAUAUUGCAUACUUUCUUAAGCCGAGCAUCGACGGUUUGUGACAUGGCUAGUUAAGAGUAAAGACGGAUUAAUCAACUUAUGCCUUUGCUAAAUCUAAUUCCACGGCUUGUUAUGCUAUCUUCUUUGGGAAAAUAUAAGGGAGGCAGAAAAGAAAAGUGGAAAGAAUCGAGAUUGGAUUUGAGGAGCAAAGCAUAAAUUGUGUUGAAUACUUGGGACUUACAUACUGAAGAUUUUUGCAAGUUUUUAAGCCAAUCAAUUUUCUAGUAAGAUUUGUGAAUUCCAGGAAAAUUGUCCAAGAAAUUUUAAACCUAUUGUAGCUUUACCAAUUUAAUCCUAAAAUUUUCAAUUUUAUCAAUUAAGUCCACUGGCAAAUUUUGGUUAGAAAUAACUGAUAUGAACGCCAAUCAUCUUACGCAAUAGGUCAGCGCUAAUAUGGACAAUUUUUAAUACUACUUCUUUUCUGUGCUUUUUUUGGGUCUCACCAAUGAUCCUCACUAGCUGUGGAGGCCUCCAUCAUCUCCGGCGAGGCCACAAAGGCCCUCAAUGAGACCAUCGCGACCCCACUGGCUGUGGACAAGGUGGUUCUCACCCAAAUCUUGCGAGAGCUACCUCAUCCUCUCCUGCAGCUGGCGAGGUUGUGAAGUCCUCACCUAGGGCCUCACUACAGCAACCCAAAAAAAAAACACAAUAAAAGGAACAAAAGAAAUUCAAAAAUAAAAAUAAAAAUUCCAUGAAAUAUUAAAAUAUGAUUAAAAAUUAUCAAUGUCAGAGCCGACCAUCUACGUUAGCAGUUUCUAGCCAAAAUUGGUAAUUUCGAAUCAAAAUUGGUUGAACGGAUUUAAUUGGCAAAAUAUGAAAGGGUUUAGACUCAAUUGAGAAAAUCGAAAUGUUUGGAACUGAAUUGACAAAAAUUGAAUAACUUUACGAUUUUUUCGACAAUUUUUGCAUGAAUUCCUUUGCAAGAUUGGGUGAUUAAGUUUAAAGAGGAAUCGUGAGGACCAAACAAUGCAAUUAGAGAUAGGGAAAUACCAAGAGCAUUGCCUAAUUUAAAUAUGGUUGUAAUGUCCGUUUUAUUACCCGAUCAAUAGUAGAAUCAUGUGGUAUCCUUGUCGCGUAAUCAUUCACACUAAUCGAAUCACUUAAAUUCGAUUUUCUAAUUAUUCUUUUGUUUUGUUUAUUUUAUUAUUUGAUCACUGAAGUGCAAAUUAUAUUUAACGUUUGUCCUAAUCAAUGACUAACGUAGACCCAAUUUCUAGAAGCAAGCUAAUAUUUUAGUAAAUUUGUACUCUAAACGUGAAAUGAGCCCAGCUGUUGUCUGGUCAACGACGACCGCCGUGUUAUGCAAUCCCACUUUUUCUAAACGCACUUUUUCUUCCCUACUUUGUUGGACGAUCUGAUGAAGCGUGUCGUGCGCCGUUGGACGUGGAACAUGGGAGCGUGGGACAUCGAGAAACUGUCCAUUUUGUGAAUGGGAACAUGAUCAUUUUUCUCCAAGUCCAGCUCAGUUGAGGUCACAAGACAAUCACGAUGGAUCAAUCAAUCCUAAUCAAAUUUCGUUGUUGAGUGAAAAAUGAAGGAUCUAAUCAAAUUCCAUUUGUUGAGUGAAAAAUAAAGGAUAUGGAAAAAAUGAUUAUUUAUUUCGCUUAUAAAAAUGAUCAUAUUGACCAUUUUAUGAAGCUUGCUCUGGAGAGAUUUAACUAUUUUUGUUAAUCUGGCGUGCCGAAUGCUCCUUUCUAAUAGACGAUUGGAAAUGAUGAAAAGAAACAUGAUUAAAAAUUGUCCAUGUUAAUGCAAACCGUAUACGUUAGCAGUUUCUGGUCAAAAUUGGCUGAAUGGACUCAAUUAGUAAAGUACAAAAAAAUUUAGACUCAAUUGAGAAAAUCAAAAUAUUUAGAACUGAAUUUACGAUUUUUUGGACAUUUUUCGCAUGAAUUCCUUUGCAAGAUUGGGUGAUUAAGUUUAAUGAGGAAUUGAGAGGACCAAAUAAUGCAAUUAGGGACAGGGAAAUACCGAGGGCAUUUGGCUGAUUUAAAUAUGGUUGUAAAGUCUAUUUUAUUACUUGAUCAAUAGUAGAAUCAUGCGGUAUCCUUAUUGUGAAAUCGGUCACACUAAUGUAACCACUUAAAUCCGGCGUUCUAAUUACUUUUGUUUUGUUUAUUUUAUUAUUUGAUCACUGAAGCGCAAAUUAUAUUUAACGUUUGUCGUAGCCAACGGUUAACGUAGAACCAAUUUCUGGAAGCAAGCUAAUAUUUUAGUUAAUUUGUACUCUUAAACAUGAAAUGAUGAGCCAAGUUGCUGUCUGGUCAACGACGACCCGCGUGAUAUGCACUCCCAAUUUUUCUAAACCCACUUUUUCUUCUCUUACUUUGUCGGACGAUGUGAUGAAGUGCGUCGCGCGGCGUGGAAAGUCAAGAUUUUCUAACGUGGAACGUGGGAGCGUGGGCCAUCCAGAAUCUGUCCAUUUUGUGAAUAGGAACAUGAUCAUUUUUCUCCAAGUCCAGCUCGGUUGAGGUCACAAGACAAUCGCGAUGGAUCAAUCCAUCCUAAACAAAUUCCGUUUAUUAAGCAGAAAAUGAAGGAUCUGGAAAAAAUUAUGGCGUUUAUAAAAAUGAUCAUAUUGACGGUUUUAUGAAGCUUGGUCUGGAGAGAUUUAACUGUUUUUGUUAAUCUAGCAUGUGGAAUGCUCCUUUCUAAUAGAAGACGGGAAAAUGAUAAAAGGAAAGCAGUAAGCAGGUAAAAGAUUUCUAAAAUUAUUACCGUGGAAUUUUUUAUUUUACAUAUUUAUGCACUUCAUUACAACAAUAUAUUUGUGAUGCUAUAAAAUAAUUUUUGCGACUUUUUAGGAUAUUUUCUAUAUCAUAAAGGUAAAAAAUCAUGACUCUUUUGAUCAGUUAACAUCAAUAAACCCCAUCAUGAUGAUUAAUGAUUGCAACAGAAAAAAAAAAAAUACGUGGGUACAGAUAAGAAUUAUGCCGAAGAGUGUCAAAAUAAUAUCUGAAGGCUGCUGAUUUGUUGAAGGAUAGCUGCGAGUGGUAAUAAACGCGACCAGUGCGGCUGAUGUUGCUACAACCACUGAGGGAUAAGCCCCUUGGGUGCAUUUUAGAUAACAAAAGCUCCAAUACCAAAUUAGAAAAUGCAAUCCAAAAGUUUAAACUGACAAUUGAAAAAAUAUAAAGAAUGUAUAAACCUCAUCGUCAAGCUUAAUUGAGCCGUGUAAUUGUUAUGGUAGAAAGGCAAUUAGUAUUUGACAUGUGUAGGAAAAUUCAAAUUAGACAACGUAUGACAUACAACGACCGCGAAGAACACCGUGUGCAUGGAGGCUUGCCAAUAUUUUGUGCUUAUAAACAGUGGAGGAGACUUGACUUAGCACUUGGAUAUGAAAUGAAAACCAGAACAACGACCACUCUCUCUCUCUCUCUCUCUCUCUCUCUCUCUCUCUCUCUUCUUAAGCCACUUUGUUGUCGGCUUCCACGAAAGGCUGUGUUACGAUAAAAUGAAAGUGCGGCGUCGUCGAGACCAUAUUUUCCGCCAUGGAAAACAAGAGCGUGGGCCAUCAAGCGUCGCAGCUCAUGUUGGGAGUGCGAUGUUGAUCUGAUUCCCGCCCUUCAAGUCCGGCAUAAUCGACUUCACUAGUCAUCUGAGGAAGCGUCAAUCAAUCAUCGCUCGACAGAUCAUCCGAGCCAAUGGAGCACCUUCUUGCAGAUUGAUCAAUAAUACCGAAGAUUCAGGACACCAUCAGAACACCGAUACCCCCUAUCCGCGAGCUACCGGAGAGUGACGGAACCGAGGUAACGAUCUUAUUAAAACAUAAGAACCGGCUAUGGUCGGUCCGAUCCAUGAAAGCUGAACUGUACUUUAUUAGAGCAUGCCAUAAUCAUACAGCACGGCAAAUACAUAAAGAUGGGAACAAUUUGUCCCAUAGAGCUCUGAACUAGAGAUAAGCUAGUUGCUGAAUCCUCAAUCUGAGUGCCAGGCCGGUUCAGUCUGAUUCGUCUUCAGAAACAAAGAACCGGUCCAAUUAUUUCCAAUUUUUAAGAUUUCAAACUACGAACCGGACUGAUUAUUCCCUCAGGAACCACCCAUAACCAGCCAGUUUUGUCUGGUUUCCAAUUCGAUCUUGAGACCGGUGCUCGCCCUAGUUUUUACCAUAUGAAAAUUAUAUAUUCUCAUUGGACAAUAGGACUGUUUGCAUUUCCUUCGCAUAAUUCUAGUAAUGAAUGGCCAUGAUCUAUGUAGCACCAACACGAACACGCGACACGACACGACACGCCAACACGUUAUUUCUAAAAAAAUAGAGAAUUUCGACACGUUCCGACACGUUAUAUAUUAAAUACAUAUUUUUAUGUAUAUAUGCAAAAAUAAAUAAAUAAAUAAAUAAGAGCAUAGAAUUAAUUUAUACUAAAAAAAUUAAUCCAACAUUUGUUAAUAUCAUUUAUUAUUUUAAUUUGAUAGAGAUUAAAUGAGAAAUUUAAAAAUUGCAAACACAAAAGAGUAAAUUUGAAUGAUCAUGUCCUAUUUUCUUAUAGGGUUAACACCCUAAAAAACCCUAAACUGGUACAUUUGUGACAAAUUUACCCCAAAUUAUUUUUUUAACCACCAAAAAUCCCAAACUGGUAUACCUUUGACAAAUUUACCCAAAACUGGUACACUUGUGACAAAUUUACCAUAUGUUAAUUUUCGUUAAAUUUUAUUGUUAAGUUAUUAAGUUAAAUAACACGUGGCAAUUGACUAAUAUACCAAUUUGGGAUUUUACUCUCUGUUUGUAACAGUUUACAAUUUUUGUGAUUUUUUUGUGGUAUUAAUCAAAUUUAACGGAGGGUAUAUUAGUCACAAAUUUACUAAUUUGAGAUUUUUUGUGGUUGAAUAAAUUAGUUUGGGGUAAAUUUAUCAUAAAUGUACCAGUUUAGGGUUUUUUAUAGUCAGUCAGGGUAAAUUUUUCAUAGAUGUACCAGUUUGGGGUUUUUCAUAAUCAAAAAAAUAGUUUUGGGUAAAUUUGUCAUAAGUGUACCAAUUUGGGGUUUUUCAAUGUAUCAACCCUUUCUUAUAUUUGUCAGAAAUUAAUGAGAUUUCUUAUAGUCCCAGACCGAGUUUGGAGUUCAUGAUAUAGAUUGGCUUGAGCUCCUCUGCAAAACAAGGUUCGAGAAAAAUGAAAAUCCAUGACAAGAACUCUCAAAAUACGACCAAAAGAAAAGGAAAUAACUAAAUUCGCCAUGGAAAAUGUGACCAAAAGAGAUAAUUCGCAAGCGACGCCUGCGAGAGGUGGAAAGAAGUAAAAAAAAAAAAUCACAACUUUAACUCUGUGGGGGCAGCGGAGCGACGCCAGAGAGAAGAGGGGCGUUCCAUCAUCACUCACGGGAAGGUCAAUACUUAUAAAUAAGAAUCUUGAGAGUGAAAAUGUUCUUCUUUUCCCUUUAUUUUUGUUAUUUUCAUUACUUUUUCAUAUAUUUAUAUUUUAACCCCUCAAGUAUUGAAAAAUUUUAAAAUUGACCCCGUGCGUGUCGAAGUCACGUGUCGGAAUUUCAAACUCGCGUGUCGGAGCGUGUCGGGAAGAGUUGACCACAUGUCGAAUUUUCCGACACUUGUUGACCACGUGUCGGAACGUGUCAGAGCGUGACGGAGCGUGUCGGACACAUGUCAGAGUGUCAGAUACGACACGAAGGCUUUCAGAGAGUGUCGGUACUUCUUAAGCCAUGAUCAUACUGUAAGGGCAAAAAUGUGGGAACAUAUCUAGAUGAAUGAUAAUUGUCUAAUCAUAAGAUCGACAACAUAUCUGGAUCUGGGCGUGCACACGGGAGGACGAAGCUCAAUUUUUUAUGUACUUUAAUAUCGUGGAUCGGGGAGAUAUCAAAUCCCGCAAAGAUAGAAUCAAUCGCAUCGCACAAAAGCCACGUUCCAUUAGGGAAUGAAGAAAGUAAUAACAAAUGAUGGAACGUCACCGAACAAACAUACUAUACGUAAGAGUUAUUCCUUAUGGAUAAAAAAAAAAAAAAAAUAGCCUCCUCGAAUGAUUUGCUUAAUUUUGCAUGAAUCGUCCAAUAGAAUUUAUCACAUAGAAACCAACAUCGUGAGAAGCCACUGCAGGUGAGUCUAUACAGUUAUGUUUACAAUGGAAAAUACUCUUACAAUUAAAUGGAAGUUUCACUCCAAUUGAAGCAAUGACGAAUUCAAGAACUCUACUUGAGCGAGAGAAGAGGAUUUGUAAUAUCUUAAGGGGACAAAAUACAUAUUGCUGUGUGGUAUUAUUACUCAAGAAACUAUACAUGCAGGCCCUUCACAUAAAUUUCGCAAAACACAGGAGUUUUAAGGAAAAUUUUCUCUCUCUCUCUCUCUCUCUCUCUCUCUCUCUCUCUCUCGACAGCCACUUUGUUGUCCGCUUACGAAAGAUUGUCGUCCGAUGAGACAAAAGCGCGUCGACCGGCUCUCUCUCUCUCUCGACAGCCACUUUGUUGUCCGCUUACGAAAGAUUGUCGUCCGAUGAGACAAAAGCGCGUCGACCGGACCGUAGUUUUCGCCGUGGAAAACCAGAUCGUCCUGAAGUGGAAAACGAGAGCAUGGGCCAACAAGAGUCGCAGUUCAUGUUGUAAACACGAUGUUGAUCUGAUUCCCGGCCCUUCGUAUUCCGCCAAGUCCGGCGCAAUUGACUUCACUAGUCAAUCAAUCAUCCAGCGACUUAUGCAGGAGUCGCUCAACAGUUCAUCCAAGCCAAAUGACACUUCUUACUAAUUGAUCAAUAAUACUAAAGACUCAAAACACCAUUAGAACACCGAUGCCCCCCAUCUGCGAGCUACCAGAGAGUCACAGAACCGUCGCAAUGGUCUUAUUAAGCCGUGAGAACCUGAUAUGGUCUGAUCCAUGAAAGCUAUACUGUACUUAAUACAGCAUGACGUCAUCAUACAACCAGGCAAGUACAUAAGAUGGCAACAGCUUGUCCCGCAGUGCUCUGAACUAGACAAGUUAGAUGCUGCCUCCUCAAUCUAGGGAUCCGAGCUGGACCAAUUCAGUCCAAUUCAUCCUCAAGAACUGGGAACUGGACUGGUAGUUCCCAAUUUUAAAGAUUUAAAACUGGGAACUAGACCAAUUAUUCCCGCGGGAACCACCCAGAACUGGCCAGUUCGAUCUGAUUCCUAGUUUGACUCGGAACCAGUGCUUGUCCCCAGUUUUUAUCAUAUGAAAAUUAUAUAUUCUCGUAGGACAAUGGGACUACUUGCAUUUCCUUGACAUAAUUCUAGUGAUGAAUGGCUGUGAUCAUACCAUAAGGGCAAAUAUGUGGGAACAUAUACGGAUGGCGGAUAAUUGUCUAAUCAUUAGAUCAAUAACAAAUCUGCUUCAUGCGUACAAAUCUGGGCGUGCGCACGGGCGGAUGAUGCUCAUUUCACGUACUAUAAUAUCAUGGACCGGGGAGAUAUAAGAUCUUGUGCAAAUAGAACCAAUCGCACUGUAUUAAAGCCACGUUCCAUCAGGGAAUGGAGAAAGUAACGACAAGUUACAGAACGAUGUCAUUGGACAAAAUAAAGUUAUGGGGCCUACUUGCACAUAAAAAAGUUGAAGGAAGAAAUGGAUAGCAGUACUCAAUCAAUCACAUUCUAUCACAGAGACAAGAACAACUUGUGGGUGUCCAAUUCUGCCAAAAUUAACAUGUUCGUUGCCUUGUGGUCUCUGGAUGAUGGGCGGCUUCCAGCCAGUAUGCGGACAAUCCAAACCUGCGAUAUUUGCGAGAUCUCCUUUAACUAUGCAGAUAAUUGCUUGCUAUAUUUGAAUGAUCUGGAUCGCUGCGUCUCUUCUUUAGAUUCCCCAAAAGUUACCAAUGAGUACUGCAUCACAACUUUUGAAGUUCGCCAAGCAGACUUUCAAGGUAAAUCUCCCUAAGAUAGCGGCUUUACUAUCUGUUUAUCAUGCUUAUGGCUGCAAUUCUUGUCUGUCUAUUCUCUCGCUUUCUUGUAGGACCACUUUGUGACUUGCCACAACUUACAAGGAAAACAUGGUUUCAAGGGACACAGUGGGCUCUCGCGAAGGUAAAAACAGACAAGUUGCCACCUUGUCUUUCUUAAUGAAACUAUCCUAGAAAUGUCAUCAAACAUCUAUCGACAAGAAGCAGAAGAAGAAGUCACCCCUGAUCUUUUUUCUUUUUUAAACAAAAUUGUAGCCAGAGCACACAAGAGCACUGUAGAAGGCUGAAACCGAUGCAACGGAUGGAGAUGGGAUUUUCAUUCUUCUGCAGGCGAGGAUCUGGCAGGCCAAGAUCUGGGUUGCCGUUCAAGCUUCAAAAAAAAAGAGAAAAAGAAGUGGGUCCCGCGCUACAAUGAUGUAGGCCCGCCGGAGUUGAAUCUUAUUUUUUACAAUAUUUUUCUGGUUUUAGUAAAACACCAAAACUUAGAAAAAUUAAGUUGAACGGAAGUUGUUUUUCUUUGUUUGGUUGGUGGCAUGCGUCAAGAGAAGGAACGCACGUUCUCCAUUAAUAAUGAAAGGAGUGUUCCGAAAUAAGAAUAAUAGAAGUAUCAAAACUUUUGUAAAAUGCUCAAUUAAGCAUCAAAAUUUUUAUUCGCUCACUUAAGUUGUCACGCCCCGAACCUCGAGCACGCGCACAUCCCACUGCGGUCGAUAGAAAUGCGACUUCCCAGGACACGUCGCCGACCCAUUCUUUUUAAUUACACAUGCGGAAGCGGAUAAAUAAUCCCCAGACAAAACUCAAUUGGGAUAGAAAAGCAGGAUCACAUUUUUAAAACCAACCACAUACUUUUUAUACAUAUCAAACCAGUUCAUUUACAGGACUAGGCUAUUUACAAAAGAUCUAUAGAAGAUCAGUCCUCAAAAACUAGGCUGUCCUAAGAUCAGCUAGACAGGUCCAUUCGCCAGCUCUUUAGUCGGGAUCGGCGAAGUCAAAAAUCCUCUCAGCGACCCUCACUGGUCUACCAAAAAGCUCCGGAGGAUCCGCCAUCUAGGGACCUGAAAUAUUAUCCCACAACCGGGAUGAGACGAUGUCUCAAUGAGUCCUACCCUCUAAAACUCAAUUAGGAAGAAAAUAAGCCCCAGGGUGCUCUAGCCACACAAAGAGAAUAGAGGACUUACCUCGCCUCAGUCCUUCCUGCACGUCAGUGCAACUCAUACGUCGAUAAAUUCAUACUAUAUAUCAAUUCAUAUCGUCUAUCAAUUCAUACCAUCUAUUCAUCCAUUAAUAAAUCACAGCUCACACAAGCUGAUAUAGAUGGUAGCUCGCACAAGCUGAUAUAUGCAUAGAUGAUAGCUCACACAAGCUGAUGUAUGGAUCGAUGCUCUCACAAGCUGACAUAUAUAAAUCAAUUGCUCGCCAAAGCGGAUAAUUCAAUAAUAAACCAACUCAUAUCUCAAUUCAAUCAAUCAAUCAAUCCAAUCGAUUCAAACUGGUCAUACAAAUCAAUUACGGUGCUAAAAGCUAACACCGGGUAUUUUCAAGUUAAAUACCACAACUUCAUCAAUUUCACGCAAUUCCACACUUUUGGAAUUAUUAACCAUAAUCAUCAAUCACUCAAUUUCUCAAUUUAAACAUACAAUUAGCACAAACCGACCGCACUACUGCCGAUCAGCACGAAAUUCUAACGACCGGCCAUCCCGGCAAAAUUUUCGAAAUUAUUAAAUAAUUAAAUUUAAUUCCGAAAAUUAAAUAAUUAAAUAUUAUAUUAUAAUAAUAUAAAAUAAUAAAAUAAUAUUUAAAAAUUCGAAAUAAUUAUUUAAUUAAAAAUAAUCAAUUAGGGCUUAAAUUAGAUUACACUAAUUUAAACAUACAAUUAGCCCUAAUUAAACAUCCAUUAAACUAAUCAUACAACUAAUCUAAUUUACAUUAAAAUAAUCUAAUCUAACACCUAAACCUAAUUAGACUAAUCUAAACACCCCUUAAGCAUGAUUAACUUGCUAAGCAAGGUUUAGAGGAUAAACUCACCGGUUUUGCGCGCCGGUGAGUUCACGACGACCACGACGCCAAGGCGGUCGAUAAACCCCGAAGUGGCGACACCAACGGAGGCCGGGAAGGGCUUGAAAACGGGCCACAAAGUCUGGAACUUCUUGCUGUCUUCUGCUUCUGAUUUGGACUGAACUGCAGAGAAGAAACCAGCAACUUCAACGGCGAAAACGGGCUGAUCGGAGCUCCGGCGAGCGGGUGGUUGGCAACCGGCGGCUCCCGGGGGUCAAGGGGAUCUUGCUGGUGGUUGGUAUGGGUGGAGGUAGGGUAGAAAUGGGGAGAAAAUGACUGAAAACCGCGAAACGGGCGGAACAGGCGGAACCAGGCGAGUCCAGACGGUCCGGCGAGCGGCGGCUUCGGGAGGUCGUACGGAACAGCCGGAGAAUCGUUCCAGCGAGCGGUGAGGUGCUCCAGAACGGGCUGGGUCUCUUCUUCGCGGCGAUGGGUGGCUCGUUCGCUAAUUCAACCAGGAAGUUAACUUUUUACUCGGAUCUUUGGCGAAAGGUCGGCUGGAGCAGAAAUUGGAACGAGGGGAAAACAGAGGAGGAAAUGGGGUCCGAUGGGCAUGCGACGGUGGAGGGCUGAUGCUGCUCGGUUCCUCUGGUUUUUGCUGAGCUUCUCUCCUUCAACAACAAUGGAGAAAGCCUUAGAGAAGAAGCUGCUUAAGAGUGGGGGUCUCCUUGGGCUCUCUAGAGCUCAACACUUGCCAUCUUCUCAUUGGCUUUGCCCCCACCAUGACACCACAUGACCUCAGCCACUCUCUCUCCUCCAAUCUUCCUCUACAAGCUUGGCAAUAGGUGCAAAAUGUGGUGUGCCAUGGGAGCUACGAAUUUUGGACAUUCCCCCAUUCAAUCCAUUCAAUUCUCUCUUAAUUCCAAUCAAUUGAAGCUCAAUUGAAGCUCAAAUAAAUCGGUCCAUGUGUCCUCAGCCUUCUCAUGACAUUUCCCCGUCAAAUGAUCCAACUCGCAUCCUGAAGAUUCGAUUCAAAACGGCCCUCUGACAAUCCCGAACAAAAACGGCCUUACUUUGCUUUUCCGCCAAAAUCUCAGUUUGUAGAAAAAUCUUUUGAAUAUGAGUCGACGUUCCUAAAAUGAAUUGUGACAUGCCAGAACCUUCAAUUUCUGAAUCCGGAUUUAAAAUCACGGUUAAUUUCAAUCUGGCACGAUUUGAGCGCGUCCUAAUCUACCGGGUGGCUUUUAGGAAAUUUUCAGUGUAAUUGACCCAUGGUUGAUUAUUUUCAAGCCACGACAUAAUUUUCGACACAUUGGCGACUUUCGAUUGUCAUGAAAACUCGAGAUUUCAAAUACGGACACAGGGUACCCAAAACGACAAAAUAAUCAGUUCAGUGCCGGUCGACGAGGAUAUUGAAAUCAGGUGGAAUCACCCACACUCUAAUUACAUAUCUCAGUCGAAUCGACCUAUUACUAAUCUAUGCUCGAUUCUGACAGUGUCGUAAUGAUCCUUGCAGAUUUAUACGAUCGAGUAGUCGGUUCAUGGUCAGAUUCUUAAGCCUAUUGCAUUUAAAUUCCUUAACGGCUUCACCUAAUAGACUAAUUAUCUCGUGAGUGAUCAGCUCGGAGAAUUGAACUAUAAGCGCGUCGAUGAAAAGUCCGUCUCAUUUAAUUGAAAACAGAAUUAGAAAUUUGGGAUGUCACAUAAGUGCCACAUCAAAGCAAAAUCAUUUACCUAAGUGUCACUUCCGGGCAAACAACCUAUAUUGAUUUUUUAAAAAAAAAAUUGAAUUUCUUUCUUUCUUUUUUAGGCUGAUGGGGAUCAUUGACGACCCUCGCCGAGCAUGAAACCCUUGUUGGCUGCCUCGCCCUCAAUUGCGGUGGCCCUGGGUGAGGCCAUUGAGGCCUCAUCGACUUUGGGUGACCUCAGGCGAGGGUCCUCGUGGCCUCACCCGCUACUAGCAAGGCCCUAAGUUGUUGCCCAAAACCUUCGCAGCGAGAGCAAAGUAGUGAGAGCCCUCACCAACCACCGGCAAGGCCUCGACAACCUUGCCCAAGGACUUCACAGUCGAGGACGAGGAUUUUGCGGCCGACGAGGGUCACCAGUGAUCCUUGCCAGCCCUAAAGAAAAAAAGCAAAAAAAAAAAAAGAAAAGGAAAAAAUAAUAAUAAAUUCAAAAAGUAUAGUGUAGAUCAACUGGUUGACUUUCAAGUAAUAUGAGCGAUCAUUUUUAGGAAAUAUAUUUUUAAAAUUAUUCAUUUUUCGCAAAAUAAACUAAAAUUAAACAAAAAAAUUGUAAUAAUUUGGUGGUCAAUUUGAUAAGUCAAUAUAUGUAAUGUCUAACCGUAAUUUCAUCCAUUAUCCUGGUUUCUAGUCAUGAUUUAUUAAUUUCUUUUUGAAUGAUUAUGUUCAGGUCGUGGUAUUUUGUAUACUAAGAUGAAUUGCGUGGGAAUAAUAAAAUGCUGAUUUUGUAAUUCCAUGGGUAUGUUUUUUGUUCCUAGCGAAAACGAUUCAAAAUGUCGAACAUGAGCUGUUCCAAUCGGCCUUUUAGCGAGAAAGGAGAGUCAUUUUGGCUGUUUUCUGAAGUUUUCUGAAGAGAUUUAACCGUUUUUGUUUUUUUGGGCAUGUAGAAUGCUCUUUUCCAAUAGAAGACGGGAAAAUGAUCGUAGGAAAACAGCAAGCAGGUAAAAGAAUUUCUACGAUUAUUGCCGUGGAAUGUUUAGUUCGCCCUGUUUUUGAACUUCAUUACGACGAUAUAUUUGCGACGCUAUAAAAUAAAUUUGGCGACAUGUUUCUAUAUCAUAAAGGUAGAAAAUCACAACUCUUUUGAUUUGUUAACAUUAACAAACCCCAUCAUUGUAAUCAGUGAUUGCAGCAGAAAAUAAAAUACAUCGGUACAGAUAAAAAUUAUGCGGAAGUGUCGAAAUAACAUCUGAAGUUUGCGGAUCUGUUGGAGGACAGCUGCGAGUGGUGAUAAACGCGACAGAUAACAAAAGCUCUGAUACCAAAUUAGAGAAUUUAAUCCAAAAACUUAAAUUGAUAAUUGCAGGAAUAAUAAUUCAAUAAAUAAUUUGUUGACAUACUAAAUCUGAUUUACUGAUUCACUUCGUUGUGCCGUGCUGAUUGAUGUAGGAAUAUCCGAAUACGGGAUGAGAGGACUGUUGAGCUUGAUGCAGACCAUAAUAAGUCUAAUGCUCGCAGGGUACCGAACGUCCGACUAAAGAACAGAUGUAUGCAUGGAUGGAGACUUUGUCAAGAUAUUCUGCUUAUGGACGGUGGAGGAGACUUGACUUGCCCAUGGAUACAAAAUGAAAAGGAGAACAACGACCACCCGAGCAGCCAUAAUAGUGAAUCUCUCUCUCUCUCUCUCUCUCUCUCUCUCUCGACAGCCACUUUGUUGUCCGCUUACGAAAGGUCGUCAUCCAAUGAGACAAAAGCGCAUCGUCCGGACUGUAGUUUUUGCGAUGGAAAACCAGAUCAUCCGGAAGUGGAAAACGAGAGCAUGGGCCAUCAGGAGUCGCAGUUCCCGUUGUAAACACGAUGUUGAUAUGAUUCCCAGCCCUUCGGGUUCCACCAAGUCCGGCGCAAUUAACUUCACUGGUCAAUCAAUCAUCCAGCGACUUCUGCAGGAGUCGCUCAGCUGUUCAUCCAAGCCAAAUAACACUUCUUACUGAUUGAUCAAUAGUACCAAAGACUCAUAACACCAUUAGAAUACCGAUUACCCCCUUCUACGAGUUACCAGAGUCACGGAACCGGUGCAACGGCCUUAUUAAUGUUAGCUGGGUUCACUCCUAUGUGGAGGAGAUCCAAUAAGUUGCAAGCCUAAAAAGGGCUUGAGCCCAUAUGAUAAAUUAUAUGAGAAAAUAGAGUUUCUCACUAUCUAUAUAAAGAGAUAGCUGCAAAAAAGAAAACAGUAACAAGAGUCACGGAAUACCGAAGUCACGGAACCGGUGCAACGGCCUUAUUAAUGUUAGCUGGGUUCACUCCUAUGUGGAGGAGAUCCAAUAAGUUGCAAGCCUAAAAAGGGCUUGAGCCCAUAUGAUAAAUUAUAAGAGAAAAUAGAGUUUCUCACUAUCUAUAUAAAGAGAUAGCUACAAAAAAGAAAACAGUAACAAGAGAAAAAGAGAAAGCAUAAAAUCUUGGGUUUUGGGCAAUAUCUGAUUCACAUCAAGCUGGCGUCGGAGGUCGAUUCGUGGUCCGAUUAAGCUGAAGUUUUGUCAGUAUGUUCGUGGCACAAUUUUAUCGAAUCGGAACGAUUUGAUUUUCAUUUGAAGCUCCAUACAUUAGGUUUUUCGUGAAUUGAUCAAAACAUGCGUUUUUGGUCAGAUUUAUCAUUGAUCUCUUGUGAAGUUUAUGUGUAUUGCCAAGAAUUAUGUUCAUGAAGUCUUUGCUGCUAUGUACCUCUAAUAUUUGCUAGUAAAGAACAAUUUUGUUGAUAGUGAAGAAUUUCGAGUAGACUCUGGUCCUAUGGUUUUUUAUCUCCUCACAUCGAGGAGGUUUUCCACGUAAAAAAUCGUCUUGUGUUCGCGUGCUUGAUAUUUAUUUUACUCUACUAUAUCAAUUCCUAUAAGGUUUACACAAGAUGGGAGAUUAUUUUAUUCCACUGCGUUGAUUCGAUAUUGUUUGAAUCAUUACUAUUCUCCCAUCAGAGUGGUAUCAGAGCAUCCGGUUAUUGCUUGAUUUUUCUGCCAAUAAGGAGCAUACAUAGACUAGAACAUACAAUCACAUAAUCUACUCUAUUGUCACACUAAUGCACCACAAGUAAAGCACAACAAUAUCAGCACACGACUUAUAUACAAUUGACCAAGUCAAGGUAUAAUGCAAAACCACACACAAACACACACAUCGAGUGUAUUAAAUUCAUUGUAUGUUUCAAUAUCCACCUUCAAAUCAGAUUUUCACCGGAUCACUAGCCAGCUCAAUCGAGUCACCUCUAGAUCUCUCAUUCGGACUUCCAUGGAUUCCCAACCAUGGCAUCUCAUUCCAAGACAUCUCAGUAUCACACAGUUGAGACAUCCUAGUCACGCAAUAGGAAUAUCUUACUCCGAGGUAUCUCAGUAUCAUAAAGUUGAAGCAUCCAUAAUCACACAAUAUGGACAUCCUACUCCCUAGAGCAUUACUAGUAUCACAAAAUUGAUGGAAAUAUUUUAUAUUCAAUUUAUUCCACAUAUUUCAUGCAUCACACCUUAAAAUAAUCACACCACAUAGCAUGCUCAUCAAUUUAAUGCACCAAAUCACUCCAUAAUUCAAUCCUCAAUGUCGCGACCAAUUUUUCGAGUGUGAACUACCUAAGGUUUGACUAAUGGAUUGUUAAGCCUAGAUUUAACUCAACUCUCCCAAGCCCAUACCAGUUUGUGACUUAAGUUCAAAUUUUUAAUAUGCAAUUGAUUUUCAAUUAGGAGUCGCCACUAAUCUAUUUUUGAUGGAUCGAUUAGAAACCCAAGUAAAGUAAUGGGAGAUUUACUUUACUCCUACGAAUCAGAGAUUUAGGUACGGGAACUUAGUUACGCUAGAUUUCUCUAACGCCCUUUCGGUACCGUUUCUUUUAUUUUGAAAAAAUAUUUUUGCAAGCAGCUUGGGUUUAUUUUAAAUCUAUUUCCCUAACAUGUGAGGUGAUCAUGCGGGUACGCAAACCACCAAUUUAACACACAGAUAAACAGUGAAUAAAUUGCAAAACUCACCUCAAAGCAAUGAAAACAUCUGCAAUGUUAAACCAGAAUUCACAUAAACAAUCCUAGAUAUGACCUCUAAUUAACAAGCAAUUUUUUUUUCACUUAUUUAAUGAAAAUCAUGUAAUAUGCAAUGCAAUAUUGACUAAAUGACCUAAUUCUGAUGACAUGCAAUUUCUAAUUGAAUGGACCUAGCAACAACCACUAAAUGGCAUGCAUUUCAAUGAAUCUAAUCCUAAUGACGUGCACAUGACAUUUUUUUCCUUGAAAAGAAUGCAAUUUAUCCUAGAAAAUAAAAUUAAUUUAUUGUAAGAAUUUUUUGUAUUUUUUCAUGAAAUUCAUAAUCAAGUAAAAUGUGAAAAUUAUCUAACUAGAUUAAGAUCCUAUUCAAUUUGUAUUAGGAAUUAGGUUAAGCCAAAUCCUAAUUUAAACUAAAAUAUUAUCUCAACCCCAAAUAAUCCUAAAAUGCAAUCUAUCUAAAAAAAUACCUAAACUUAUAAUAAAUUAAGAAAAAUAUUAUCUAGAAUUAAACUAAGUGCAAUUUUACCCUAAUAUGCAAUGAUGCACAAAAGAUGCCAUAAUUCUACAUGACAUAUGCAUGAUGACUUUUUUUGUGUUUUUGUUUUUUUUAUUAAUUUCGAAAUUAAAAAUUGCCACAUAAUUAAACAUGCAACUUAAAUUAAACUAAAACUAACAUCCUAAAUGAAUGUAUUUUUUUGGAUUUUUUUAUUUAACAAAAUAAAAUUGAUUCAACCAACAUGACGACAAAUCAAAUAAGAUAUGAUCGAUAUCCACAAAUUGGCAAAUCAUAUUUCGCACAUGAGAUCGGAUUGGCCAAUUUUAAAAAUAAAUCACGAAUCAAAUCUCGAGCGUGAGAUCGGAUUGCCAAUUUUUAAGCAAUUGUGAUUGCGAGUCGGAUUUCAAGCGCGAAAAUCGAACUGUCAAUCAGAGGCAAUUUCAUGUUGGAAUCUCAAUCACACAUUAAUGAAUAAUUCCACUAAAAAAAACUAUAAAAGACAUAAAAAAUAAUAAUAAAUAAAAGAAAAACUACCUAAUGUAUUUUUCCUUAUGUUUUUUCUUUUCCUUCCAAGCCUUGUGCUCGUGGUGGAUCACCAAGGACAACAGGUCACCAAGUGUGGUGGGUCACCGGUGUUCGGAGCUCCGGCGAGGACUGGCGGUGAGCAGAUCUGAUGGUUUUAUUUAAUGUGAUGGGCCUAAGUUGGCCCGUCCGCCCAUGUUGGGCCGAAAAAGCCCGGCCCACAAGAUUAGGGCCCAUGGAUGGAGGGAUAUGAUGAAGGGGUACGUUCCUUUUUUGGAGGGAACGUAUAAAAGGAGAAAGAGAGAGGGAGGAACGCACCUUUUGGCAUUUUAACGUACGUUCCUCCUCCCUCUCUCCCUUGAAACACUCCAAAAGAAAACGGUAAGCAAAAAGGCGAAUCCAUCUUCCUUUCAAACGGGAUCGAACGGGAUCGGUUUCUCUUCCUCAUAUGGGCGUCGAUGUUUAAUCUGUGGCUAACAAGGUACGCUCGAUUCCGUGGUAUGCUUUAGGAUCGGUGAUACAUGUGAAUUUCCCGGGCUCGUCUUCCGCAUUCGUUUAAGGGUUCGAUUUAGUGUCGAAACCGGUUUUUGGGAAUCCGACAAUCCCAACAUUGGUAUCAGAGCCGUAGUUCUUGUUUCCCAAUCAUUUUCCAUGUUUUUCCCGACCCCUUUCAUGUUAAUGGAUGAUUACUCAUUGAUUUUUCGCGGAAUUAAUCGGCCAAAACUAAUCGGGGCGAAAAAAUCCUGACACCCGAGCACUGUUCAUCCAUUUUUUCGAGUUUCUGUAACUCGAAAUCAAUUUCUGAUGGCGUAAGAUGGAAGGGCUCGUCGAGAUGAUCGCGACGAGUGGCGGAACGCCACCAGACGCGCCCCCACGCGCAACCGGAGCGAAGCGACAUGCACCCGCCGAUUCGCAGGCGAAGGCGCUUGCGUCGCACGCGCACGCGCGACUGACGCACGCACGUGCGCGUCCGCAGUCGCUAGUGCGUGCGAGGCACACGCCAAUCGGUCGGUCCGACCUGGGCCAACCGGCCUGACCGGUCCGGCGACCCCGACCCGUUGACCGUCGACCGUUGACCGACGACCGUUGACCGUUGACUUUGACCGUUGACCCCCAAAAAAAAAUGUGUCUCUUUUUCAAUUAAAUCUAUGUGGAUUAUAUGUGAUCCCUUAUUUGUUCUGUAUUUGUUGCAGGAACAAUGCCUCCCCUAAGGUUGCGCACACCUAUUCGCGCAAUUACCAAUGAACAAAAGGAAAGGCUUUUUAAGUUAAUAGCUGAGCUGACUGAUCAUCGAUGGGAGAGUAGUGACUUAAUUGAUCACAUCCUUGAAGUCAACGGGAAAAUUCAAAAGGUCAUAUGGAAUGGUCGUCAUAUGCCACAUUCUGAGAUGGUGCAAUUUUUCAUGAACACCCUUCCACCAGAAUGGCAAGGAAUGUUGAAUCGCAUAUGGGAUGUCAACAAAGCUGCUUCAUAUAAGAAAAUUGUGAUGGAUUUUAUAGAUGAUUAUUAUUGGAUUGUUACAAGGGAAAAGAUCAAGAAAUUGAACAAAAUAGGAUCUUUUCCAGUUCGUGUACUGACUUGGCGUUAGAUGUAUUGGCCGGUCUUUGUUAAGUGUGCUUUGUGAACGUCUUAUGUAAUGUUUACUACCUGAUUGUUAUUGAUGUAGCAACUGAUAUGUUAGUUGUAUUAUGUGAAAGCAUUAUUAUUAUUCUACUGGAUGUCAAAUAUUAUUUGUUUUCUGUUAUUGUUGGUUGCUGUGGGUAGUUCAUAGAAGUUUUUGUAGCUUUAUAGAAUUUAUUUUGCAUAAGACAAUUAUAUUAAUGAUAGUUUUAAGUUAAGAUUUUUGGAGGAUGAUUGGAAACAAAGUGACAUUUUGAUUCUGAAACCUUACUUGAAAUUGUUCAUUAAUAUGAUGGGUCUGUGCAAAAUGGAUGUAGAAAUGAUAGGCAUUAAUAAUUUGUGCAUAUAUGUCUGAUGUGUUCAGAUCAAUAGCUUCAGCCACAAAGAGCAUAGUUGCCGAGCUGAACAAAGGUGAAAAGCUCAUGACGAUAACUAUGAAAUAUGGCACAUGAAAAUCCAAUAUAUGCUGGAAGAGCAAGAGGCACUAGAAGCUCUUAACUUGACCAUGGUAGAACCUGAAGAAGGAAACACUGCACAGCACAAGAGAGAUAAGGAAGCAUUUGCUACAUGGAAAAUUAAGAACUCUCUUUCUCGCAUUACGUUGCUAAGCAGCAUAGAAAAUGACGUCAUGCGAGAGUUUAGGCGUUUUGAGAAUGCCAAGGACAUGUGGGAAGCAUUGGCAGCAAGAUUUAGUCAUACUUCGGUGACCAGACUGAGGCAGCUCACUAUUAGGUUUGACUCUUAUAAGAAGCCUCAUGGUCAGACCAUGAAGCAACAUCUUAGAAAGAUGUCAAACAUGAUAAAUGAGCUAAAAGAUGAUGGCCAUGUCCUAACAGAUGAACAGCAAGUGCAAGCAGUGAUUCGUUCCUUGCCUCAGAGUUGGGAGCAUAUGAAGGUGCACCUGACCCAUAAUGAAAAUAUCAAAACAUUUAAGGAUGCAAUGCGUCAUCUUGAGUUGGAAGAGGACCGCCUCUUGGCGGCUAAGCCAGAAACUGAAAUCUACCAUGCUGGUUCUAGCUCACAUGAAGCUUCGAGCUCCAAGCGCAAACGUCCUAACUGGUUUGAUAAAGGGAAAGGCAAGGAAGCAGGUCCUUCAGGGAAGAAGCCUAAGCUUAACCAACAUGAAAGAGGAAAGCGUCCUCGAAUGAAAAAGCUUACAAGGGUGAAAUGUUACAACUGUGACAAGAAGGGUCACUAUGCUCACGACUGUCGUGAGCCAAAGAAGGUAUACACCCCUUGUAUUUUUCAGAACUUUGCUUUUGUGUCGAGUUCUGUAUUCUUAACUAAGUCUAAUCCUUUGUGGACUGUGGAUUCAUGAGCGACAGACCAUGUAGCGAAGGAUAGAGAAUCUUUCGUGGAAUUCCGACAAGUACCAACUAGAACUAAGUAGAUCUAUGUGGGAAACAACUCCAGAACUGAAGUGAAAAGAAUUGGCACCUGCCAACUGAAUAUGCGUGGUGGACGCACUUUAUUCCUAGAUGAUGUAUUGUAUGCUCCGGAGAUUCGUCGAAAUUUAGUGUCUGUUUUAGUGUUGGUUAAAUUAGGUUUUAAUAUGAACUUCCAUAAUAUAGGUGUGGAUUUGUUUUUUGAUACAAAUUACUAUGGCGUGGUUAUUUUUUGGAUGGUUUUAUUGUAUUAGAUAUUGACUAUGUUAAUGCAAAUGUUUGUUAUUCCCUUCUCACGUCUCUUAAUACAUAUGAUAAUGAUGUGAAUGUGUGGCAUGCUAGACUUUGUCAUAUUGGCCAACAACGUAUGAAUAGACUAGCCAAAGAGGGCUUAUUGAGCAACAUUAAAAAAGUCGAUUUGCUCAUAUGUAAGCAUUGCCUUGUAGGGAAAACGACAAGGAAACCAUUUGAAAAAUGUAAAAGAGCUUAAUUUCCUCUGCAUUUAAUCCAUUCUGAUGUUUGUGGUCCAAUGAAUGUGAGAGGAAGGCAUGAGGCUGUUUAUUUCAUCACUUUUAUAGAUGAUUAUACUCGAUUCGGAUAUGUCUAUUUGAUUUCUCAUAAAUCUAAAGUAUUAAGUUAUUUCAAAAGGUUUAUGAACUUGGUAAAAAAAUCAAUUAGACAAGAAAAUAAAAGUAUUAAAAUCCGAUUGAGGUCGAGAAUAUUUAUCUUAUGAGUUCAUAAAAUUAUGUGAUGAGAAAGGAAUAGAAAGACAGUUGUCUAUUCCAUAUACUCCUCAACAAAAUAGUGUUGCGGAAAGAAGAAAUAGAACCCUACUGGAAAUAGUUAGGUCCAUGAUGGCGCAUGCUAACUUACCUAUCACUUUUUGGAGUGAUGCGUUGUUAACUGCUGCCUAUAUACUUAACCGAGUGCCUUCCAAAUCAGUUACUUCCACUCCAUAUGAGUUAUGGACAUGUAGAAAACCCGACUUAAGUUUUCUUAAGCCAUGGGGCUAUGCUGCCUAUACUCAUGAGUCCUUUCACAAGUUUGGGAAAUUGGGUCCCAAAGAAAAGAAGAGUAUUUUCAUAAGAUAUUAUAAACACUCGAAAGAGUAUGUGUUCAUAGAUGAGCAGGAAAGUGGGAGUAUAACUGAAUUUGAAUCACGGGAUGUCACAUUCUUAGAUGAUGAAUUUCCUAAGAAGGGCGAAAUAUGAGAAGAUUACUCCCUAUUUGAAACCUUGGAUCAAGAUAAUGAUAUUAGUGGAGUUCGUCCAAAUGGGAGUAAUAUGAGAAGUGAUGAAUUGAAUUCAACUCAUUCUCAAUUGCAAACACAUGAUGAGACGACGUUAUCAUUAUCUAAUCCUAGUGGGAGCAUAAUGGGGAAUGAUGUGCAAAGUGUACAAUCUCCCAUACGGCGAACAAGUCGCCAAAGUAUUCCCCGUCGACAUUUUGACAUUGAAGGGGAAACUUUUAUAAUUGCUCCGCAAGAUGAGGAUGAGCCAAGAAAUAUUAAUGAGGCUCUGAAUUGCCCUAGUAAGGAAAAAUGGAUUCAUGCAAUGGAAAAGGAGAUUGAGUCAAUGAAGUCAAACCGAGUUUGGGAACUGGUUGAUCUUCCAAAAAGACGCAAAGCUAUUGGGAACAAAUGGGUUCUCAAAAUAAAGCGAAAAGUUGAUGGCUUGAUAGAAAGGCAUAAGGCUCGCCUUGUGGCGAAGGGGUAUAAUCAACAGGAAUAAAUUGAUUAUGAAGAAACAUUUUCUCCUAUAGUAAGAUUUACCUCGAUUCGCAUUAUUCUGGCAAUAGUGGCUAGUAUGGAUCUUGAGUUACAUCAAAUGGAUGUAAAGACUGCUUUCCUCAAUGGAGAAUUAGAGGAAGAAAUAUAUAUGGAACAACCUGCUGGUUUCAUAGUGAAAGGCCAGGAAGAAAAGGUAUGUCGACUUUUGAGGUCGAUAUAUGGCCUUAAGCAGUCAUCAAAACAAUGGUAUAUACGUUUUCAUAAUGCCAUAAUGGCAUAUGAUUGUGUAAUGAUUGAUGAGGAUCAUUAUGUAUAUAUCAAAAGAUCCAAUGAUCAAUUUGUGAUCAUAUCAUUAUAUGUUGAUGAUAUACUAAUUGCCGGAAGUAAUAUGAAGUUUGUUCAUACUGUCAAGAGUUGGUUGUCUUCCAACUUUGAGAUGAAGGAUAUGGGUGAGGCUGCAUACAUUCUUGGAGUUAAGAUUUCAAGAGAUCGUUCGAAGAGAUCGUUAUCUCUUUCGCAAGAAACAUAUAUAAAUAAGGUUCUUGAACGAUUUCGUAUGCAAGAUUGUAAACCCAUAGACACUCCUAUUGCAAAAGGUGAAGGAUUGAGCCAUAAACUGUAUCCAAGGACUCCACAAGAAAAAGAACAAAUGAAACAUGUUCCUUAUACUAGUGCUGUUGUGAGCUUGAUAUACGCUAUGAUAUGUACAAGACCUGACAUAUGUUUUGCAGUUGGAAUGGUGAGUAGAUACCAAUCCAACCCAGGUCAAGCACAUUGGAAGGCCGUUAAGAAAAUACUGAGGUAUCUGAAGGGAACUGCUGAUUACAAGUUAAAUUACCAAGGAAAGGAUCUGUGACUUGAAGGCUAUUCAAAUACUGAUUGGGGAGGAGAUUUAGAUGAAAGAAAAUCUACCUCUGGAUUUGCUUUCUUACUAAACAAUGGUGCCAUAUCAUGGAGUAGUAAGAAGCAAACGUGUAUAGCCUUGUCCACGAUGGAAGCUGAGUUCGUGGCAUUAUCAGCAGCGGUACAAGAAGGAGUUUGGCUUAAGAGAUUUUUGGAUCAUUUAGGUGUCAUUGAAAAAGCUGCAAAUCCAUUGUUGGUUAACUAUGAUAGCCAAGCAGCUAUAACGUACACCAAAGAUCCAAAAUAUCAUGGUAAGACCAAACAUAUAAAUACCAAGUAUAACUUUGUCAAAAAUAUGGUUGCACGAAAGGAUGUGAACUUACAGUACAUAUCUACGCAUAGAAUGGUAGCAGAUCUUAUGACAAAGCCAAUACAUAGAGAUGUGUUUUGUGGCCAUGUAAAAUCUCUAGGAUUACGUAGAGUCUAAUAUACUGGAUUGUAAUUUCCCUGAUUUGUUCACAUUUAUGAACUUUUGUUUUUCCAUUGUUAAUGUCUAUGAAUCUUUAUUUGAUCUUUAUGCAUUUUAAUGCUCAGUGCAUUACUUUAAGUUGAGAAAUUAUGUCGAACAGAUAAAAGAUUAGCCCACUCACACGGGUAAUCGCCUCUAUUACUGUGUGAUAAAUAGAGAUGAGAUUGUUUUUAAGCUUAUUAUCUAGGUGAUAAUCGAGAGCUCAAGCUUAAAAUAUAUAAGUCGCCUUAAUUGAGUGUUAAGAUGAGGACAUAAUAUUUACUAUGUUCGAAAGUAAAAUACCCCACAUAUUUUACUUUAUCUGUCUAAAAUGCCAGAUGUGAGUUUUGAUGAAUUUUGUGAAUGAGUAGAUACGUGAACUCAAGUUAGACAUUGGAUAUGUCUGAACUAUCAUCUGUACGGUAUUGAAGGUGUAGACAUAUGCUCCAUGGGAAAGGAGUUAAUACCGUAAUACGUAUUUCAUACUACGUAUGCAUGAAACGACCAAUAAGAGUGGCAAAAGUUUGAUCUCAACUUUUAUGCCGUGUGAAACUCUUGAGGAAAAGAAUUCCUCAAUUUUAGUGCCCUCAUGACUUUUACUUAUUCUCAAGAUUUCUAUUUAGUGUUUACUAUCUUAGGAUGUUGCCAAUGGUCAUGAGUUGAUUCGAUCUAAUGGGACAUUUCUAGAAAAGCAAGCUAAACUAAAGUUGAGAGUUUGAAGGAAAGAGGAAGAUCGAAUUUGGAGAAUCACAUUGUAGUUUUGUGUUCACUAGUCGACCAAUUAUGACUGUCUUUGGGAUAAUCAUAAUUGUGAAUACAAUAUAUAUAUCAUUGUUUAAAAGAGAUCAAGAGAUAUAUAAAUAUGAUCGAUCGAUCUAGGGUACUGCAUACUAAAUUUACUCAGAGUGUGAUGCCCAUUAUGAGCUGCUAUAUAUUCCUAACAAAUGUAUAGCAACAAGCUCUCAAAGUAUGCCGAUCGCACGGAUUAUUCACCGGUAUGAAUGUUGAAGAGAGGUAAAGAGAAUCAUGUCCGGCCCACCAUGUGCGAGUGAGAGAUGAUGGUUUCAUUUAAUGUGAUGGGCCUAAGUUGGCCCAUCCGCCCAUGUUGGGCCGAAAAAGCCCGGCCCACAAGAUUAAGGCCCAUGGAUGGAGGGAUAUGAUGAAUGGGUACGUUUCUUUUUUGGAGGGAACAUAUAAAAGGAGAAAGAGAGAGGAAGGAACGCACCUUUUGGCAUUUUAACGUACGUUCCUCCUCCCUCUCUCCCUUGAAACGCUCCAAAAGAAAACGGUAAGCAAAAAGGUGAAUCCAUCUUCCCUUCAAGGCCAAUUGACGUCGUCGGAUCGAACGGGAUCGGUUUCUCUUCCUCAUAUCGGCGUCGGUGUUUAAUCUGUGGCUAACAAGAUACGCUCGAUUCCUUGGUGUGCUUUAGGAUCGGUGAUACAUGUAAAUUUCCCAAGCUCGUCUUCCGCAUUCGUUUUAGAGGUUCGAUUUAGUGUCGAAACCGGUUUUUGGGAAUCCGACAAUCUCAAUAGGAUCGGUGGCGAGCGGUCCGACACGGCAAAGGAAACCCGGAAGAGGGGGCUUAAUGAGGGGCAGCGCUCCUGGCAGCAAGGGUCUUGGUAGCAUGGCGAGGGGCUCGGUGACCAGCAGUGGUGUGUUCACAGUAGUGCAGGACCAGCAAUGCUGGCGUGGGGUCGCAACAGGCGGAGCAGGCUGCAGCUCUGGUGCUGCAGAUCGGGCGGUGGUGUCGGCAGAGGGAGCUCGAGAUUUGCAGUUUUGCAGGCAGAGACAAAAGGUAGGGGUGUUUUGGCCCAAUGGCGAUGCAACGGAGGGCGGAGCAGCCCGAGCGUCGCGAAGGGGUGCUCGGAGUGACGGUGGCCGACAGAGGGAGACACGGGUGCUCGAAGGCACAAUGGCAUCGCAGGGGGACGAGUGGCCAAAGGUGUCGAGCGCGGGUGCUGGUACAGGUGCGAUGGGCUUUGGCUCGAUUGCAGAUCCGAGCGCGACUUCAGCAGGCGGCGUCGAGGGAAACUCAGGUGGCUGCAGAGUGGCGAUGCGGUGUCCAGCGAGGCGGCAGAGCAGCAGUGCGAGCUCCUGUUGAUCGGGUAGAGGUGCAGAGCAGGGCUCGCGGAAGGGUGAGCGAAGGCGUCAAUGAGGCGGUAGCAGCAGACCGAGCAGUGGCGGAGCAGGAGGAGCGGCGAUGGCCGAUGUUGGUGGAGGCGCAGUGCUGCGGCGGCUUCUGACGGGUGAAGGACGAAGCGCAGGCAGGCGUGAUGGAUGAAUCUGCUAGGGAGCGUGAACAGUGUUCUUCUUCUUUUUUAAUUCUUUUAUCUCUCUUCCCGUCACUCUCACGUCCUCUCCCUCUGCUCUCUUGACUUUCUCCAAGCUUUUUCUUCUCUUUCUCUCAAAGAACCGAAGGAAAUCCCUUCUUCGACAACCAAAAACCCCCUUUUGUGCGGCCGUGUAUUUUUAUGUGGCCCUCCAAAAUCCUACGCGAAAAACCUUUUUAUAGAUCGAAGAUUAGGGUUUUAAUUUCCUUUUCAAAUCAGUAUCCGAGAAGAUUUCUUUUUCGCACACAAUAUCACUUUUUUAUUUUCCACAUCUCCUGAUUUUGUCGUCUAAAAAUAAAAUUGCAACCCAAUUUUCUUAAAUUUCAAAAAUCUACCAUAAUAUCAUUUUAAAUCUCCAUUUAGGUAAUUCUUGUCAUUAAAAGAAAACGGGCUCGAGCCAAUUUACUUGCUUCGUGGGCUUAGUCCGACCUCCCAAAUUAAAGCUUAGAACCACUAAUUCAAAUCCAUUCACCGCCGAUCCAAUAAAAUGCAAAAAAUAAAUGCAGCUGAAUCUAUAUGCAAUUAAUAUUUUUUUCAGAGAUAAAAUUGACCCCUAAUUUUCUAUGCAAUAAAUAAAUUAUCGGGUCGCCAAAAUUUAGGUAUCAACACUCAAAUGGACACAUACGAGGUCUCAUAGAACAUCCCAUCCAUUGCAUAAAACUCUCAACUAUUCACAAUUCAAUGUCACCUCGUCACAUCUAAGAGGGAGAUAUAUCAAAUGAUAAUGUAUAAAAGACCAUAGAAAUCCCAAGGGGUUGCCAAAAAGUUCAAACAAGUUGUCUACAAAAGUUUGUAAAAAAUUCGGAUUAGAAUAGAAAGUAGACAGUUUUGAGCAGUUUGGAAUAUCGGGGUCAAAACUAUAGUAAACCACUUCGAAAAAUUGUGAAAUUUUAAUAUGUUUUAGAAAAAACAUUGAAAACUAUUUUCCGUGAGAAUUCUAGACCUAUUUUUCACUGUACAGAGAACAGCAAGUCAUUGAAUUAACCCCUAAAACCUGUAAAAUUUUCUAGACUUUACAGCACAAUAAGAAAAAGCACUUCAGUACUCAAAACUUAACCAAUCCCUACUAAAUUUUAGUAUGUUAUACACAAGGACCAACCCUACGACUUUCACGAAGAGAGCAAGACUGAUUGUAUCGUAAAAAUGACAGAAAAAUCAAAUAACAAACCGAUAUCCCUGUUUUUACCUAUCCGCAGAUUACCAUCAUUGAAAGCAAUCACAUUUUCAAUUCUUGUGCUACUUCCAGAAAAUCUAAGGAAAAUAUAUGACAAGUAUACACAAUUUGCUAUAACUUCUAUGAAGAACAUAAGUCUAAAUUCAUGACAGAUUCUUCGGUAUGAAAUUUGCAAAACUUCGAGACCAGAAAAGCUCGAUUUUGGACAUAUCAUCUAUAUCAUCAAAAUCCUUUCAACUUGGCCUUUAUUUCUCUACACCUCCCUAUACUAGCAUUGUUCAAACCUCAAGCACACACAUAUACAGCAACUAAACCCCACACUAAACACCAUAAGUCCCCAAACCACAAUGGAGCUUGCAACCCACGAGCAAGCUACUCGCCUACCUAGAACAACAUGGACAACCCUCAUUUCAGAACACCCGGCCAUCUACCGAACCAACGGCAAAACCAAAGCUCCUCUUCUAUGUAUAUACUUCUUAAACACGCCGUGAAACCCACAUGCAAGCCACGGAAAGACUAUCUAACCUCACAACCAACGAGUUAGACCCCAAAACAAAACCAUCAAGGAUCGUUUUUCCCUCAAACCCACUCGUCUCACAUUUCGCUUAACAACCAUAGAUUAUCCCAACUUAGUAUCCUACCACUUCCUUACCCAGUUGAUCCUUGCCUUCCUCACUUGCUGGCUCUUCAAAAUCUCAGAUCUCUAAAGCUCGAAACCACAGAAAAAUCACAGAGGAAGGAGAAGAAGUUUCCGCUGAGCCAACAGAGAAGAAGAGGAGAGAAGAAACAAGAGGGUGAGAGAGAGAGAGAGAGAUGAGUCGGAGGGGAGAGUGAGGGAGAGAGAACAAUGAUGAGUUUGUCUUGAGAAUGUUUCCUAAAUCUUCAUGAGUCCCUAGGCAGCUCAUGAUUGAAAAAAUUUUAAAUCCUAAGGCCAUGUUGACUGAAGAGCGGGCGGAAAUGCCAAGGGAAGAAGAGGCAACGCGAGGUGGCUUCUUGCAUGCAAUUCCCAUGCAUACACACUCAGUGUAGGAAGGUUUUGGGGGCUAAUUUGAGGAUUUUCUUGCAUUCUAAUCAUUGGUCCUAGUUUAUCUUUAUUUCAUUCCAAUUCUUCCCCCACGCAUUUGGCCCUACAAGAAGAGAUUAGGUCUAAUUGAUUUGCGUAUGUCUAAAGUGGCAUUGAUGUCACAAAUUGGGCCUAAGAUCAAGAACUAAGAGGAAUCAUAAGAAAGUGUUAAAGAUUAAUCCCGUGUUUGUAUAUAAAUUCCUAAAUUAAACUAAACACGAGCAAUCAAAACUGUUCACUGACGAACAAAAAUAUUUUUUGCUCAAACUUGGCCUCACGCAUACAUCCAUAGCUCUAUUGGCCCCAAAUCAUGGCCCACUAGGCCCUUUACUCAGCCCAUUGCUUGUCCCAUCAAGCUCACGCUCGCUGCUCUCACACGCCACUAAGCCCUUAGGCUUGUGUACCCCUUAUGGCCCACCAGGCUUGUUCCCUAGUCCACUUUCAAUAUUCCAUGCUCAUAUUGAUCCGUCUAUAAUUUUAGGAUCAUAAAAUCUAGGGUAUCAUAGCCCCAUGUUGGCCCUUCGUUGGUUACACUCGCGGGAAGAAGAUGAAUAGUUAUAAGGAAUGACAAAACCGAAAACCUAAAAGAUUGGUGAGAGUAGUUUUGAAAGGAAAAAAAAUAUUUUGAUCCUAAUUUCAACAUUUCACAAGCGCUAUUUCGAAAGGUUGGAUUUCCAAAGGUUGGAUGGGAGUAGUAUCAGGCUUUGAUUUGGUUGAAAAGCUAUUUCAAAGUACUUAAAAAAUGUUCCAACAUCUCGAGAUUUUAGAGGCUGAAAGGACCUCCAAACGUGCCCUUAGUAUCUCGGGUGGGCCCGAAAGCCGAUGGCACCGGUGGAAGAGAGAGAGCCUUCUUGGGCCAGCCUCUCCUUCGGCCAUCGCUCCCCCCUGAAGAGAAAGGACUCGGGUCGCCUCGAGUAUCGCCAGUCCACUCUCUCCCGCACGAACAAACCAUCCCCCCGCCCGCCCCCGCCCCCGCCCCCGCCCCCCCAAAUCUCCCUCUCCGAGCGCCUCGCAAUCGAAGAAGAAGGAGAAACAGACAAGGAGUGGAGAAGAGAUUAUAGGGAUAGCGAAGGGGGAGGAGUCGUACGAGCUGCUGAAGCUGCUGAAGCAGGUUACCUGCCCCCUCCACGACCUCCUCGCCGACUUCCGCUCCUCCUUCCCUCCCUCCUUCCGCUCCCCUCUCUACACCUCCCUCUUCCUCCUCCUCGAGGUCUUAAUCCCCCGUCCUUUUCCUCCCUUCACCUCUCUUCCCCCGAUACAGCUGUUCCGUCGCUAGGGUUUUUCUUUUGGGGGGCGGGGCUUCUAGCCUUGGCGCGAGUGAUGCGCCGCUUCUUGUUGUUGGCUCGGGAACUCUGGUGUUCUGCUCCGCUUCGUGAAAUAGGGAUAGGAUGAUGGCUUGCGUUCCGAAAUGGAGAGAUCGCUCGCUUGUUCGAUCUUCGUUCUUUUGGUGUGGUUUCUGUGUAAUUUAGUGUGGAGUACGCGAAGGCGGUCGAUUUGGUUUUCGGCUGGCUUAUGCUGUUUAUCUUCAUCUCGAUUAGUCGCUCCGACCGGUGUGGAGUAUAUAGCUACCUUCUAUGCCGUCCUAAGAAAAGUUGAGAUAGACCUGGGCAAGACGAUUUUCCUUAUGGCCCACCGGGCUCGUUCCCUAUACCUAGCCCACUUUCAAUAUUCCAAGCCCAUAUUCCGAACUAGACAAGUUAGUUGCUGCCUCCUCAAUCUGAGGAUUCGAGCUGGACCCAUUCAGUCCAAUUCGUCUUCAGAAACUCUGGGAACCAGACCGGUAAUUCCCAAUUUUAAAGAUUUGAAAUAGCAAUUUGGAUUAAACAAAUUUGCAGAUUCAUUCUUCAACAAAGUAAUGGGAAGAGUACGGGCUGAUGACAAUCAUGGAAACUCUUCUGAGGGUAAUGAAUUGAACCGGAACUGCCGUUGCUUCGCAACUUUCGAGCCAAAAAUUGCAGCGACCCACUGCUCCUAUAAGAUCAAGUGAAAAAGAUCCCUCCUCCUUUUAGUUUCGUCCUUCCUGUCUUACACAUUUCUCUAGCAACGAUGACAAUCUUUAGAAUACUUCAAGCUAUACUGCUCAAAUCAGCAACACAGACAUACUGACGCCUCAUGCACUUUUUACCUUUCCCAAAUCUAUCCAUUUCAAUCUACAAGUAACAACCCACACCAUGCAGCCACAGGCCAAAGCAGAGCAUGAACUUUUUCUUCCGGAAGAUGCUUCUCCUCAAAGCACAGAUCUCGCAGACAAAACAUGGAACUGUGGAAGUAGGGCCCAGCCUCUCGGUUAAUAUUAAUACUCCGAGCCUUCAUUAGCAAUACGACCAUCCUCUGCCAUUUUCCCCAAGUCCAUCUCUUGGGUAGUCUGUUGAAACCCACUGCUUGAGCUGGAUGGAUGAAGGCCAUACUCACUUGUGAGGCCACUAUACUCGCUUGUGGCUUGUUCUUGGCUUUCCAAGGCCAUCAUCCUAAAUUUCUUUAAAUCCUCCUGGUAUUGACUGGUGUCAUCAUCUGAGCUUCCAUGAGGACUAUAUGCUAUGCUAUGUCCGGGCACAAUUCCUUCAUUUAAAUCGCUCAGAGAGAGGUAUCCUUCCAAUGCUCGAACAACCUGAUUACAUGAAGUUCAAAUCUCAUUCCACAAUAGUAGACCAUUUUGCAUUAACGGUCAUACUGGAAAGCGAGUUGUAGCAAACUGAGACACUGAAACUAAUUUUUUUUUCCAGCUCAAAUGAAACGAUAACCCAUGACUUGUAAAAGGAUCAAAACCACUAACUAGAGCAUAGAUUAUCUCUAUAAUACGAGGAAAAAAAGGAAACAUGCAUUCUCAUAUUAAAACAAAGGAUUUUUAACUAGCAAUGUACCUGUGUCAUUCGUGGACGGUGUCGUGCAGAAUGACAAACGCAAGCAGCAGCACACGCAAUCGUCCGAGUCAUUUCCUCGGUAGCGUAAUCCUUGUGCAAUUUUGGAUCAACAAUGGCAUCAAAUUUGCCAUCUUCUAGCCUUGCCUGAAAUUUCAUUAGAGUAGCCAAUUCUUUUACAACAUUCAAGGUGGAGAGACGGAAACAUGGAGGAGAAGGAUAAAUAAAUAAAGGGAGGGGGAGAGGGAGAUUAGAAGCUCAAAGUCCUAAAACUGGCUUUUCCCUAUCAGAUAAGAUCACUAAUAAUAACAGGCCUCAAGUAAAUAUAUUGUUGGUAAACUACUGACCCAAUCAACCAUGCUAUCUUCAACAAAGGGUCGAGUCUUGUCAAUUGGACGACGCCCGGUUAUCAACUCUAGAAGCACAACUCCAAAAGAAAAGACAUCCGAUUUGUCAGUGAGCUUCCCACUGGAGGCAUACUCCAGAGCCAAGUAGCUGCAUUAAUUAGACUUACCUUAGCAAAAGAUGACACAACCAAUGUAUGCUAAGAGGAAACAGGUGAACGGAACCAUCAUCUAUACCAAAUUAGACAAACUAUAUGUAUAAGGAAUAGGCUUACCUGAAAGUUCCCAUUACUCGAGUCGAUACAUGAGUAUCUGUAUCAAAAGCAAUCUUUGCAAGUCCAAAAUCUGCAACCUGGAAUCAAUAGUGCUGACUUUUAUAUUUCACAUCCAACUAGCUUCACACGACAAUAUUAAAUUAAGCAUUGUAGAGUUCAUCACAACUCCAAAAAUAGCUGCAAACGAAAAGUUGGUUCCCCUAAUGAUUUCAUCAAGAAAUCAACUUUUGCAGCCCUAAAAUCUUUUGCCGUUUCUCUAAUCUUCGGCUUAUACAGAGGAUGUAGGAGGGAUGCAAAUGCUUUUGAAAAAAUGAAGUAAAUCAAUAACUUAAUAACUAACUAUAUAAUGUGGUAGUGAAUUCAAUAAACAUCCUAGAUGACCGAUAUAUCAUGUAAUGAUUAAGCAAUCGCACAUCAUACCUUUGCCUCAAAAUUGAAGUCUAGAAGAAUAUUAGAACCCUUGAUGUCACGAUGAAUAAUUUUGGGAUUACCUGAGAAGUGAAUACAAUAAAGAUGAACCGUGAAACUUACGGUAGUAAAAAGGUAUAAAAGACUCUACUUACAGUCCUCAUGUAAAUAUGCCAACCCUCUUGUAGAACCUAAAGCAAUCUUCAUUCUUGUAGGCCAAGCCAUAGUUGGGCGAUCCUUCCCUGCAACAACAUUUGCUAGUUAUAACAAUUGUAAUGUUCUCAAUUAGCUUUUCAGCUCCAAAUAAUCAAACACCCUGUGUUGCCUAUGCACAGUGGUGAUCAAGCCAUUUGGUUAUUAUGGCAUCGCUACAAAAGUGUUAGCUGGCUGCAAUGUUAAGGUCUGUUGUCCAAUCCCCCACCCACCCCCUUUUCCAUGUUAAGAGAUUUUUGCUGCUAGAUAAACAGCAAUGAUAUAUAAAUUACCUCAUUCCAGAAUGAAGGGAGUUUAUAAACAGGUCUCACUAUUCCAACAGCACUCCAAAAAGGCAUUAACCAUACAAUAUCAAAGUUGUAUGGUAGCUAGAAUCCAUACAUAAGAAGAAAAGUUCAAGUGUGAUCUUUGAAAGAAGGUAACAGAGAGAGAGGGAGAGAGAGAGAGGCGACUGAUAUUAGAAACGGCAUCAUCAGAUGAAAGAAUACAUCUAAACCUCUGAAGGCAUACUCACCAUGCAAAUGAGAUUCCAGUGUGCCAUUUGGAACGAACUCAUAUACAAGAAUUCUCUGAGCACCAGAAAUGCAGUAACCAACAAGGGAAACAAGGUGUCUGUGAUGGAUGCAGCUGAUGAUGUCAACCUCCGCUUGAAAUUCUCUCUCUCCUUGUCCACUUCCAGCUUUUAACUGCUUGAUUGCAACUACUCUCCCACUCGAAAGCACUCCCUUACAAAACCACCUUGCCCGAGUAGGUUGACAUUGGAGAAACCAUCUGUUGCUAUUUUUAGCUCUUCAUACGUGAAUGUACUCUGCGAAAGACUUAAUGCCAUGCCGGGAGCUGGUAUUGAAGGUCUUGCUGAACCCAUAUCUGUUGUUGAGAACUGUUCAGAAGAAGUAACAUUAGGUUGAAAAGGCUGAGCUGGGCCAGCAGAAGGGUCAUCUGCAAGGAACAUUACGUAUUUUUAACCCGAUACCUUAUAUGCACUGAAAAAUCAUAACCCAAAAAGCUAUUGGCAUCAAAUUAUCCUCAAACACAUACAGAUAUUAGAGAGAAAAUGAUUAAGCAAUUGCAUCAAUAAAUUCAGAGAGAGACCCAAGUAGCACUCCCAAAAUUUACAGCAACCUUAAGACAAUUUGGUCGGAAUGAAAUCAUGGAAGCAUAUGAGCAAUUGCCACAAUCAACAUGCGAUUCACAACUCGGGGUCUCGAAAACAACAAGAGAUCCAAUUUUUCAGCCUCUAGCAAGAUCUUAGGGCCUGUUUGGUAACUAGCCAAAUAGUGCUAAUUUCUAUUCUUUUGUUCCCGGGAGAAGACUUGGAACAGAAAUGUGUUUGGUAAAAUUUUUGUUCCCGAAAACAAACAUCUAUUUUUUUGUUCUCAAAAGGUGAUUUGAAACAGAAUCAAGAAUAAAUAAAAAAUGAUUCUUAUUCCCGGGAACAAUUUUAGAAUCAAGCUUUUUAUUUUCUUUUUUCUUGUUCUUCUUCCCUUUUCUUCUUCUUCAUCUACUGCCACUACCGCGGUUGCCAUCCCCUGCACCACCGCCGAUUGCCGGCAACCGGUCCGGCGAGCUCGCCAGGCCAAGGCAAAGUCCGGCAAGUUUGCCGAAGGCAAGCCUAACCAUCGAUGAGGUCGAGCCUCGCCAGUGGCCAAGCGAGCCUCAUCCAGCUACCGGCAAGGCUCAGCCGACGAGGGCCGGCCUCGCUAAGGGCUGGCAACGCUUUGGUGAGAUUGCCAGCCCUUGUCUGGCCGGUCGCUAGUCAUCCCAACGUUGGCGACCAGCCACUUGAAUAAGAAAAAUAUGAGAAAGAAAGGGAAAAAAAAAAAGGAAUUAAGUAAUAAAAUUAUUUAAAAAGUAAAAGAAAAUGAUUUGGAUUAGAAAUUUUGAGCACGGUACUAAACGCAAUUCUAUUUUAGGAAUUGAAAUUUUGGACAGUUACCAAACGGUUUAAAAUGCUUUGAAAUUGUUUACAAUAACAGAAUAAAAAAGAAUCAUUUCUGAUCAGAAAAUGUUUUCGGGAACAGAAACGUUACCAAACGCGCCUUUGUGAGUUCAAAAACCCCAAUGACUAAUCCUCAUUUCAGAACCCAAGUUCAUUUUUGGCUAGCCGACUGACCAUAAAAUGAAGAACAAAUGACGAACUUCGAAAGCUCGCAUUCAAGGAUAAAAACUCACCUUUAGGCCUUUGUAUAGGGUCAUUGCCUAGCUCAAGCCUCCUCCUCUUCCUCCUCCAGUAGAAAAUCACCAAAAUGCUGACCCCAGCCAAUACAAUCAGGCCCCCAAUCCCAAUACCCACUAUCAGCCCCACCGGGAUGGAGAUGGUCGCCGGCAAGGCACUGGUGUGGAGAGCAGGAGCUGGAGCCGGCGAACCUUCUUUUAUCUGAAGAAAUGAUUCAUCGAAACAAGGAGCCGGCGGCGAGGACAUCAAGGCCAGGGAGCUCAUUGAGUCCGAGGUUGCCCCGGGGGUUUCCUUACCAUCUCUGUUGGCUAAGGAAAGUGGAAAUUACAAAAGUUUCUGAGGAAAACUUGGCGGGCUGUGUUUCUGAGCUAGAGCUGAAAAGCUAGUGGGAGAGAGAGAGGGGGGGGGGAGGAGGGGGUGAUAACCUCUGGUGGUAAGUAUUUAAAAAAGAGAAAAAGAAGUGGGUCCCGCGCUACAAUGAUGUAGCCUCGCCGGAGUUGAAUCUUAUUUUUUAUAAUAUUUUUCUGGUUUUAGUAAAACACCUAAACUUAGAAAAAUUAAGUUGAACGAAAGUUGUUUGUCUUUGUUUGGUUGGUGGCAUGCGUCAAGAGGAGGAACGCGCGUUCUCUAUUAAUAAUGUAAGGAGCGUUCCGAAAUAGGAGUUGAAUCUUAUUUUUUAUAAUAUUUUUCUGGUUUUAGUAAAACACCUAAACUUAGAAAAAUUAAGUUGAACGAAAGUUGUUUGUCUUUGUUUGGUUGGUGGCAUGCAUCAAGAGGAGGAACGCGCGUUCUCUAUUAAUAAUGUAAGGAGCGUUCCGAAAUAAGAAUAGUAAAAGUAUCAAAACUUGUGUAUAAUGCUCAAUUAAGCAUCAAAACUUUUUUUAACUCACUUAAGUAUCACAUUGGAGCAAAAUCAUUUACUUAAAUGCCACUUCCGAACAAACGUCCUAUACUGAUUUUUUAAUUUUUUUUUAAUCUUUUUCCUUUCUUUUUUAGGCCGAUGAGGAUCAUUAUCUACCCUCGCCGGGCAUGAAACCCUUUCUGGCUACCUCGCCCUCGACUACAAUGGCCCUAGGUGAAGCCAUCAAGGCCUCAUCAACUUUGGGUGACCUCGAGCAAGGGUCCUCAUGGCCUCACCCGUUGCUAGCAAGGCCCUGAGUUGUUGCCCAAAACCUUUGCAGCAAGAGCAAGGUGGUGAGAGCCCUCACCAGCCACCAGCAAGACCCCGACGGCCUUGCCCAAGGACUUUGCAGUUGAGGACGAGGAUUUUGCUGCCAGCAAGGGUUACCAGUGACCCUUACCAUCCCUAAAGAAGAAAAAAAGGAAAAAAAGUAAUAAUAAAAUUAAAAAACUAAUAAAAUAAUAUUUUCCGAUGGCCACAUUAGCCUUUCUGACGAUGCAAAUUAGAAAUGGUACUCAAGUGAGCAAAAAAAAAAAAUUAGUACUUGUAUUUGUUGACACAUAAAUUUUGACAAUCCGAUCAUUCAUUUAUUACAUAAGGAUUAAUUUUAACCCCUAAACAAAAAUAUUAGAAUUAAAUUACAUAACAUAUAAUUUUAUGAGCACUUUUUUAUUGCAUUUGCAUUAGACUAGUGAUAGAUGGGUUUGACUUGAUGGUUUUAAACUUUAAUUAGACGAGUUACAUUAAGCCUGUGGUGAGAGAAAAUUAGCCCAAGCCAGCUAUUCUCUUACGACCGAAAAUUGACUUAUGAAGAAUGACAAUUCGAUAUAUUCAGUAAAUAUUUCAUAUAUUCAUGCAAUAUACACACUAAGAGAUAUAUUUCACGGCAGAAUGGAAGAUUUCGAAAGAAAUAUCGAAAUAAUAAGAGGGAAUAUUGCACGUGAGAGGAAUAUAUUUGGUGAUACUCAAAAAGUAUCAACACAGGGAAAGAAAUGUGUAAGAAAUCUGCAUGCAAUUGAUCUACGAGGGAAACAAAAUAUAGGAAAGGAGAUGUAGCAUGCUUGUGCAAUAUUGGAGAGAGGAAAUAAAUUUUGUUUCUUUCCUUGCUGGGCCUCAUUAUUUUGUAUAUAAAAAGGGAGUCUCUCUUCUUGUCCAGUGGAUCAGCAAUUCUAUUCUAAAAGCACAUUGAGCGAUACACACCAAAAGAGAGGAAAGGGAGACGGUGGUUUUCUCUUCUUAGAUUGUCCCAUUGUGAGUUAGACAAAAAAUUGUGAAGUUCCUCUAGCAAUUGCACAUGAUCUUCACAUCAUGGCUUUUCCUCAUGCCAUUGUGCACCUUUUGCCAUUAAGCUCACUUAUUCCAAAGACCCAGCCCUGACGACCAACGAAGCACCAGCACUCACCAAUUUCCCAACGUGUCAGAGAUUAUCCUCACCAUGUCAUUGGUUUAGCCCCACCUUAAUUUUUUUUUGCUGCAGGUUUUCUUAAGUCAAAUUGUAGUCCAAUCUCGACGCUGCCUUCAACAUUUGUUCAGCAACUGCUGCGGUGAUUUAUUGCCAUCACAAGCGAAAUUCUUAGACGAUUACACAGCUUCUCAACAACCAGUAGCUUCCAACUACCAAAAGCAAUUGUGCUGAAAUUCCCAACCGUGAAGUCCUACAUGCUGAAUUGCAACUCGUACGAGCCGCUCGUGAUCCAUUGCGAGACAACCGGUUGUCCUUACCGUCCUUGACCAUUGUGUGAUCAUGUCACACCAAGCCGCCAACCCCCCCACUCACGGUGUAUAAGCAGUCAAUGAGUCCUCCUUGGCCGUGUACUGCUGCGCCAUCGAUACCCGCUAACACGUCGCUGCCGCUCGCCGCCAUUUGUCGCCAUUCAUGAUCGAGGAACCGGUCGUGCUUCUGGUCCGAUUGCAUUGCAAGCAAAGUUGGAAAGAAUAUCCUCGAAUUAGGUAAGAUGCACAUCUCUAGUAUAUAUGCAUAUAUUACUAUCUAAUAUAUGUCUAUUAAUAUCUAACAUGCAUAUCAAUGAGUGAUAGACAUAUCUCCCAAUUAGAGCUUAUUUCCUAAUUCGCAAUCGCAUAUUAUCAUUGAUUCCACCUAUAAGGUUUUAGGUGGAACUAUUGAUUGUGCAAGAAUCUUUAGAAUUGAAAUUGUGAUCUUUAAGGCUUAAGAUCAACUCAUCGGUUUUAUUCGCGAAAUUUCAAGUCGGUUGGAUAUUAUUUCCUUAUUCGCACUGAUUGGAUGAUAUACGAUCUUGAGUGAUUUUUUGCUUAUCUUACUUUAAUUGCUUUAUUUAUCCAAAAAAGAGAGAGAGAGAGAGAUUGUAUUUGCAUAUCAUAUAGAUUAGAAUUGAUUUCCUAGAUAGAAUUGCAUGAUAGAAUAGUUAGAUACCUUUCUAAUUAUAUUAGAAUGUAUGUUUAGAUGAUAUAUAGGUUAUAUCUUGGAAUUAAAUUGCAUAUCGAGAUAAAUUUCUAAGUUAAGAUAGGAUUCAGAUUAGUCUAUUUCCUAACUUAAAAUAGAUAAUAUCUCACUUUAGUUAGAUUUUUAUUAUUAGUAAUUUUUAAUUACGAAUUUUUAUUUAAAAAUACAAAAAUAUCUGCAUUUCAUAUAGAAUUAGGUUCAUGAAAUGCAUGUCAUUUAGUCAUUGUUGCUAGAUCCAUAUAAUUAGAAAUUGUCUGUCAUUAAAAUUAGACCAUUUAGUUUAAUUGCAUGACAUAUAGCUUAGAUUUCAUUAAACAAGAGAAAAUCCUAAAAAAUUGAGCGACUACAUGUUAAUUAGAAAUCAUAUGAUUGCGUGUUAAUUAGAAAUCAUAUGUAGGGUUGUUGAUGUAAAUGCUGACUUAACAUUGCAAAUGUUUUUGUUGCUAUAAGGUAAGUCUCAUAUAUUUUAUUUAUUGCUUUUUUUUGUGGGUGUUAAAUUGGUAAUUAUUACACUCACUUGAUCACCUCACAUGUUAAAGAAGUAAAUUAAAAUCAAUUCAAGAUGCCUGCAAAAUAUUUUUUCAAGAUAAAAGAGAAAGGUACCAAAAUGACGUUAGAAAAAUCUAGUGUAAUCAAGUCUUUGAAUUCAUAAUCUCCGAUUCACAGGAGUAAAGUAAAUUUCUCAUUACUUUACUUAGGUUUCUAAUCAACCCACCAAAAAUAGAUUAGUGGUGACUCCUAAUUAAAAAAUCAUUUGCAUGUUAAGAACUUGAACCUAAGUCGUGAAUUGGUAUGGGUUUGGAAAAGUUCGAGCUAAGUUUAAACUUAUGGCGCGUUUGGUAACGAUUCUAAUUUCGGGAAAAGAUUCUGAUCACAAAUGAUUUUUUUUUAUUCUGUUCCUGAGAACUAAUUCUAAGCAUUUUAAGCCGUUUGGUAACUGUCCAAAAAUUUUGAUUUUGGAAUAAAAUUGUGUUUGGUACUGUGCUCAUUGAUUAUGUUCCAAAUCAAUUUAUGUUAAUUUUUAAAUAAUUUUUAUACUUUUUCCCUUUUUUCCCUUUUUUUCUUUUUUUUUUCCUUUUUUUCUUUUCUUUUUUCUCCUAUUCUUCUUCUUCUUCUUCGGUCGGUCAAUAGUCCGGCGACCAGCCAAACGAGGGCCGGCGACCUCACCGGCGAGGCCGGCCUGGCCACCGGCAAGGCUCGGCUGCUAGCGAGGCCAGCCUAACCACUAGUGGGCAGGGCAUUGAGAGGCUUGCCCAGCCCUGGCGAGGCUCAGCCUCGCCAGAUCCAGCGAGGCCGAGCCUCCCCAGUGGCCAGGCUUGUCCCCGACGAGCUCGGCGAACCUCGCCCUGGCCUAGUGAGCCUCCGGCGAGCUUGCCGAACCGGUUGCCGGCGACCGGCGAACAGUAGACGGUGGCAGCGAUGGCGACGGACGACGACGAUGGCGGACGGCGGCGACGGCAAAUGGUGGCGAUAACGGAAGACGGUGGUGGAUGGGGGCGGACGGUGUCACGCGAUUGAAGAAGAAGAAGAAAAGAGAAGAAUAGUUAAGUUUGAUUAUUUUUUCUGAUUCUAGAACAAGAAUCAUAUUAUAUAUAUUUUAUUCUUGAUUCUACUCCCAAUCUAUUCCCGGGAACAAAAAUUUUACCAAAUGCGAUUAUGUUCCUAAACUGAUUCCGGGAACAAAGAAUCAAAAUUUGGCCCUAUUUGGAUGAUUACCAAACAGGGCCUUAGUAGUCCAUUAAUCAAACGCUAGGUGGUUCACCCAAAGUUGUUCUUAUUAGGGAUGAGCACAAUUUCCGAGUAGAACCGGGAACCGAACCUAACCUAGUGGGUCCGAUUCUCGACUCUAUGGAGGGAGGUUCUGGUUCUUGAUUUCUCUUUUUUUGAAACCGGCGAUUCCUGGUUCAGUUCUCGAUUCCUAUAGGAACCGAAACAAAAACUGGACCAAGAUUCAUAAGCCUAAAAUUAUUACGCCUUUUGCUUUUCUUUUUGCCUUUUACUUUUCUCUUGCCUUUUGCUUUUCUUUUUGCCUUUUACCAAUGCGUUUUGGUUCCUAUGGGAUUUCCAUCAUCGAACUCACGGAACAUGACGCUAAUGAACUCCAUCCAUUUGUUUAAUUGAAUCGUGUAGAUUUGUAGAUCAAUUUAGUGAGCUCUUUGUAAAGACAAACAAGAGAUGAAUUUGAGUUCCUUUUCCAUGAUUUGUUAUAUAAUUUAGUGAGAUACCCAUUGGGUUAAAGAGUAAAAUCCGUUUUGUCUUUCCAUUACUUUAUCAUUCUUCCCUAAGGAAGUAUUUUCUGAAUAAAAUAUUUUGAUAGUCUACAAGGACCUAGAUUCAUCGUUGUUCUCUUCCGUUUGCUUUUUUCAUGAUUAUGGCUGCAACCUACUUAUGGUUUCUCUUAAAAGACUAUGGGAUGAAUGAAAUAACCAUGAAAAACCCAUAAAUGAGUAAUUAUCCAAAUACUGGAAAAAAAUUGAAGUUGACAAUCAAUAAGGUUUCUAUAUAUUUCUUUUAAGAAGUUUUUAUGCCUCUGUUCAAUUAUUUUUAAGAAGCCAAACAUGUCUAGCUUGUUCAUUAUUGCUACAUUCACUAAAAAUGAAAUUAAAAAAAAAAAACUUGUUGGAUUCUGAAACCUGUAAUAGGGUAGAUUCUAAAUUUUGGAUUUCGAUAAGUAAGUUCUAGAUUCCAAAAAAUAAGAAACACAUAUCUAAUAAUAGGUUUCAAGUUCCAAGUGGAACCUAUAAUCUAAAAAUUUUCACUCCUAGUUCUUACCGCAAGCAUUUCCACCUCUCAAAAAAUAAAAUCCAACAAAUUUGGAGAGAGUUCGAAUUCAUGAUUUCCAUCUUACCCAUAAUUGCAACAAGAAUGUUUUUUUAUGAAUGUUAACAUUGUCGUGCGCAUAUGUGAUAUCAACAACUUGGUAAUAAAAUAAAAAUAAAAAAUGGAGUUACACAUAAAAUUUUAAUUAAAGGCCUUGUUUCUUUAAAAAUAAAUAAAUAAAUUAUAUUUAUUUUAUCUAAAAUUAAUUGGGUAAUAAAAAUAGUUUUCAUUAUCGAUAACAUUUUAUAUCUAAAUAUUUUUAUGAAUGAUGAAAUAUUUUUAUUAUUUUUAUAGAGGAUAUAAGUGAUUAUUUUUAAAAAGAAAAUUAAAUAAUUUAUGUUUUGCGAAAUAGAGGGGACCGAAAUGUGGGACAAAAGAGAUGGACAAUUGACACCCUCACAAAGAAAACGGCGGCGUUUUCAUGUCGAAGAUUCCAUCACGUUGAAUGUCGUGAAAGCCUUGUCGGGAAGAGGAAAAGGUCGGGGCAGGGGAUGGGCAUGGACCACGUCCACGUGGAGGCGCGUACUUCGGUCUCUGACAAGACAGCGCGUCCGAUUUGGAUCCCAGUGCGCCGACUUACACCAUUCUUCUAUCACGUGGAAAGUGUCUAAAUAAAAAGAGACCACAUCAUUCAGUUAAUCAGGAUUAUCUUAAUUAAAUUAUGUUUACCUUCUAGUAUGCAGCGGAUGCCAAGAACAAUUCUAGCCAAAGCACAUGGAUUGAUUCAACUGAUGAUAUUAAUCGAUGAAAAAUGUCUUUAUUAUCGAAAAUAAUUUAUAUCUAAAUAUUUUCGUGAACGACAAAAAUAUUUUCCAUUCAUUUAUGUUUGUAGAUAUUAUAUAUAAGUGAUGGCGGAUUGGUGCUGGGCUGUCCGACGACACCGAAGUGGGAGGCAGCAGUGAGGACGUCAUCAGGGGCCGAGGAGCUCGAUGAGUCCAAGGUUGCCCCAAGGUUUCCUUAAUUUCUCUGUUGGCUAAGGAAAGUGGAAAUUACAAAAGUUUCUGGGGAAAACUUGACAGGUUGUGUUUGGUGUAAAUAAUAUAUAUAAGCAAUAAUUUUCAGUAAAAUAUUUUUUGAAUAAUUUAUUUUUCAUGAAACAAAUAAUAUUUUAAUAUAGAGCCAAAAAGAAUGCUAAACAGUUUAAAAAAAAAACUAACACGAGCAUGGGUCAAUGUUGUAAUCAAUUCACUAAGUAGUCGGUCGGUAUCUAAACCACCUAGCUUCUUCGUCAAACUCAUGCCCCACUCAAAUAAGGAAUAAAUCUCAUUUGGCAAUCUCAUCCUUCAUUGUAAAUUGCAAAGGGUGCUUUACCAUCUCGCAUCCCAAAAGUUUAUAACAAGCUCAAAACGUGAAGGAUGGCAAUGAGCAAGGCUCUUCCUCCUCUUCCCGUAUCGUCAUCCUCAUCUGGUGCUCCAUGUUGGUCAUGACCUUCAGCUCCCUCCCUCGAAGCUCCGCCGUUCCGUGGGUUCCAGUCUGACGGCUUUCUUUUUCUUCACACGCGCGGCUAACCAACCCUACAGCAGCUCUCCUUUAGGAGCCCCCGCACGAAGAAAAAAGAAGAAGCCGGCGAGACCAGAGUUCCGGUUAGCUUCCGCGUUAAUAUUACAUCAGCUACAACAGAGGCAAUGAGGAUGACGGUAGAGGCCACGACACAGGCAUAUCCAAUGGGAUUGAAGGCCACGAUGAAGACGACAGCAUAGUCGACGGGAUCAAAGGCGACAAUGGAGACGACAGCAGAUGGAGGGUCGAAAAUUGGACGAGCCGGCAAGAAAGUUAUGGUUCCUUUUUCUAUGUUCGUCAACGUGCUUAGCAUUUUACUUCGAUUAUUUUGGUUUUGAAGCAUAUUCAGUUAUGUGUUUCAGGUCAGCUUUAUGAUUCAAAAACCAAACUGAAACAUCAGAAAUCCAUUGUUUUAUUUACGUCCCAAAACCUAAGAAAAUUCGACCCGAAAUUUUUUAUUCGGACAGUUGGUUUCUUUUAUAUCCCUAGAUCUCGGCUUCUUUUAUUCCCCCGUGAUAUCUGUAAUCAAUAUUUUUUAUUAAAAAAAAGGCGUUCUUUUGUUAAGUAAGAUUAAAUUAAUAGUGUCUUGCGGGUGCGUGGUAAACGUGGCCUGAGGUUGAACGGGAUGAAAUUGAUGUGAGAGCACUUGGUGGGUUCACUCUUUCAGCCGGCUCUUGCGCACUUAGCGGGGUUCACUCUUUAAGUACGAUGUUGUUGUUGCUGUUGUUUAUGGAGCGUAUUGACUGGCCAUCUCGUGGUCCGGAGAGAGAGAGGGAGAGGAAAAGCGCAUCGAGGAAUUCAAGGUAAAAUGGCACGACUGCUUUUGUCCCCCCCCCCCCCCCCCCCCAAAAAAAUAAAAAAAAAAGAAUUUUGUGCUUUCUCUUGAUUUUCAUGACCCAUCACCUGCUCGCACGAGGCCCAUGGAGUCACGCCAUAUGCAUCGAGGAAAAGAUUUUUCUUACUGAAUAACAAAAAAUAUUUUACAAUUCAUUUUCAAAUUUCAAUCAAAUAGCAAAAAAUAUGAUUAUUUUAAAAUGACUUUCUAAAACACAUUUUGCAAAAAUGCUAUAUUUUCCUUAAAAUAAACGAAGCCUGAAAGAUUUAGAGCAAACGUCAAAUCAUAGAGCACAGGUUAUCACCUCCCCAAGGACUCUCUCUCUCUCUCAGUCUCGGCUCGAGGAAAUUAUUGGCUAGCAUUCGUUUUGUUCCAUUAAUUUUUGUUGUCUUUUCUGAUUUUUCGUCGAGCUAUUUAAGCCACGGGAAAUACAUAUGAUUUUUCUUUCUUUAUGUAUUCUAAGAUCAUACAAGUCUAUUAGAAUACAAUUUCAAAGUUUGGAGAUUGAUAAGGGAAUAAUUUUUUUUUUUGUCUUUUUUUAGUUCGUUGGUGUGAUUGAAAUAAAAAUGGGAGUUUAUUUUUUCUUCUUCAUCAACAAGAAUAGUUUCAUUUAGCACUCUGAAGUUGCGAGCAACUUGAGAUUUUUUUUUUGUUUUAUGUUUUCUGUAAUUUAUUCAUUAAUUUCUUUUAUUUCCAUUGAGAGAAGAAAUUGAAAGAGAGUAAUGGGAGUAGAGUAGAGUAGUGCAAAGUAAUAGCAAAAGUCAGAUGCGGCAGCCUCAAGUAGCCAAUGUCUUUUUCACCAGGGGGGAUCCUUCUUGAUAUCUUACUAGACCAGACAAGGAAGUCAUCCAAGGUCUCUCUCUCUCUCUCUCUCUCUCUCUCUCUCUCUCUCUUUCUCUAUUAUUGGCUAGCGUUUGUUUUCUUCCAUUAAUUUUUGCUAUUCUUUUCUGAUUUUUUGUCGAGUUAUUCAAGCCAAGGGAAAUACAUAUGAUUUUUCUUUCUUUAUGUAAAUUCCGAGAUCAUACAAGUCUACUAGAAUACAAUUUCUGAGUUGAGAGAUUGAGAAGGGAAGAUGCUGUGUUUUUUUGUCUUCUCUGAAUUCAUUGGCGCGACUGAAAUAAAAAAGGUGAGGGGAGUUUAUUUCUUCUUCUUCAUCAAUAAGAAUAGUUUCAUUUGGCACUCUGAAGUUGUGACCAACUUGAGAUUUUUUGUUUUAUGUUUUCUAUGCUUCGUUCAUUUAUUUUUUUCAUUUCCAUUGAGAGAAUAAAUUGAAAGAGAACAGCGGGAGAAGAGUAGAGUAGUGCAAAGUAAUAGCAAAAGCCAAACAUGGCAGCCUCAAGUAGCCAAUGUCUUUUUCACCGAGGGAGAUCCUUCUUGAUAUCCUACUAGACUAGACAAGCAAGUCAUCCAAGGUUUUCAACAAAAUAUGUGGUGCAAAUUGCAUCGUCUCUCUCUCUCUCUCUCUCUCUCUCUCUCUCUCUCUCUCUCUCUCUCUCUCUCUCUCUCUCUCUCUCUCGGCUCGAGGAAAUUAUUGACUAGCGUUCAUUUUCUUCCAUUAAUUUUUGUUGUCUUUUCUGAUUUUUUGGUCGAGCUAUUCAAGCUAGGGGAAAUACAUAUGAUUUUUCUUUCUUUGUGUAAAUUAUGAGAUCAUACAAGUCUAUUAAAAUACAAUUUCAGAGUUUGGAGAUUGAGCAGGGAAGAAGUUUUGUUUUUUUUUUUUUUUUGUCUUUUCUUAGUUCAUUGGUGUGAUUGAAAUAAAUAAAUAAAAAGGCGAGGGGAGUUUAUUUUUUGUUUUAUAUUUCAUUUGGCACUUUGAAGUUGCGACCAACUUGAGAUUUUUUGUUUUAUGUUUUCUAUGCUUCGUUCAUUUAUUUCUUUCAUUUCCAUUGACGAAGAAAUUGAAAGAGAGUAGCGAGAGCAAAGCAAAGCAGUACAAAAUAAUAACAAAAGCCAAUGUCUUUUUCACUGAGAGGGAUCCUUAUUGAUAUCCUACUGGACCAGACAAGCAAGUCAUCCAAAGUCCCCAACAAAAUAUGUGGUGUGGAUUGCGCCGUCAUUCUUUCAUUUAAUUAGGUAUUUCGAGUUAACUUUGCGAUUGAACUGUGUUGGAGAAAUCUUCGUGAAGUGUUUUGAAGUUGACAAAACGUUUCCAUCAGUCUAGUCUGAAGGUCUGCAGACUCUGUUAGUUAAAGUCUGAAGACUUCCGGACAGCCAGACUCAAGACUCAAAGUCUAUCCUCAUUGACAGUCUCUAAUCCGUUGAAAAAAGGUUAUCCAGAACUGGAUGUUUUGUUCAGGAUUUAACCUUAUCAUCUGGAGAAGAUCUCGUGGUUGGAGAAGACGUAUAAGAAUCCUUUGAUUGAUCAAGAUUGAUUCAAUGACUGAAGAUUCGAUGAUUGUCUAAAUAUUAUUGGAAGGUUCUACUUAUGGAAACCGAGAUCCUGAUUGUAUGGGCGAACAGGAUUGAUGGGCUAUCAACACGUUCCUUUAAUAACUCGAACAAUCUUCCUAAUUGAUUCCGUCCAACGGGUAGAUUGGAGGAAUUCCUUUGGUAAGUGCCAACGGGUAUGAUGGCAUAAAGGAGUAUAUAAGGAAGAUGUUCUUAGUUGUUCGAGGUGUGCGCGAUAGAAGAAUUCCAAAGUCUGAAGCUCCUAUUUGUUUAGAUAAAUCCUUUGAGCGAAUACUUGUAUACAAAAGAGAGUCUAUGUUUGUGAGAGACCUUGAGGAGGUGUGGUAAAACAUCUACACUGUGGAAUCAAGGCAAAGCUGUGCUGUAACUUCUCUUUUGAUCAUAGUGAAAUCCAGCCGGUGGGCUGUCAGUGCGGAAGAGUGGACGUAGGCUUGGAAUAAGCCGAACCACUAUAAAUCCUGUGUUCAAUUUUCUCUUCCUCACUCUCUCUACCUCAAUCGUAUUUCAUUUUGUUAAUUAAGAGAGAAUUUACUUUCUAUCAUAUGUUAAGAAUCGCUUCCGUAUAUCGAUAAAUUGUUUAGGCACCUAUUCACCCCCCUCUAGGUACUCAUACUAGCAAUAUCAAUUGGUAUCAGAGCCUGUGUACUUACUUUAUUUGAAGUGUUUUACUUCAUAGUAAAAGAUCCAUGGCUAGUAUGCUAGCACCAGGGCUGAUGGAAAGGCAAAGCAAUACCAGACCACCCUACUUUGAUGGAAAGGAUUACAACAUCUGGAAGAACAAGAUGAAAGUUUUCCUACGAUCAAAGGAUCCUUUGGAAUGGGAUGUUGUAGAAAAAGGAAUUACUCCUACCACUGCAUCAGUCUCUGAAAGAGGAAAAGAAACUGAAGAAACCAGCGGAAUGUCUCAGGAAGAAAUAAUCAAGAGACAAACACUCGAUGCAAAAGCAAUUUACUCCUUAUAUUGUGCUUUAUCACCAACUUAAUAUAAUAGAAUAUCUUCUUGUGGUACAACAAAAGAAGUUUGGGACAGAUUGCAUAUCACCUAUGAAGGAACAGAUCGAGUGAAGGAAACUAGAAUCAACAUUCUUCUCGGUCAAUACGAAGCCUUCAGAAUGAAACCAGGAGAAUCAAUAUCUGACAUGUUUAGUCGUUUUACAGAUAUUGUGAAUGGUCUUGAAAAUCAAGGUCAACCAACUUCUGAUCCCAUGAAGGUAAACAAGCUACUGCGUAGACUCUCCAGGGAUUGGAAUCACAUAAAGACUUCGAUAAGAGAGACGCAGAGAAUCAUGCCACUAUCUGUCAACGAGCUGAUUGGAACUCUUCAGUCCUAUGAAGUGGAAAGGAUCAAUGAAGAUGAAGAUCCAAAAGGUAAGAAAUCCAUUGCAUUAAAAUCAAAUGAUGAUUCUGAUGAUACAGAUUCUGAAGAUGAUAUGGACGAUGAGGAGCUUGCUCUCAUGAUAAGAAGAUUCAGAAAACUAAAUAGAAAAGGAAGAAGGUUCAACUCAAAGAAACAAAGCUUUCAAAGACAGCAGACCAAGUCUGUUGAUGAUGAGGAACCAAAUAAAGAUGUAGUCUGCUUUGAAUGCAAGAAAAAGGGACACAUCAGACCCAACUGUCCUCUUCUGAAGAAGAAGAGAGGAAAAGCUGAAAAAUUUCGAAAAGCUCUCAAAGCCGAAACCUGGAGUGAUACUGAGUGUGAAGAAAGUGAUAAUGAAUAUGCCAAUCUAUGUCUGAUGGCACAAUCAGACUCAGACUCUGGAUCAAACUCAGGAUCAGACUCAGACAGUGAAUUUGAGGCAAGUGAUUUUAAAAUUCCUGUCAAAGUUUCUAAAUAUAUUGAUGAACUAUGUUUUAGUCUUAAGACUUCUCUCAAAAGAAUUUCCGAACUGAAAAAAGAAAACUCAGCUCUAAAACAAAAGGGAAAUGUUUUAGCAGAAAGAGUUAAAAGUCUAGACUUGUCUGUUUCCAAUCUUAAAGAAAAUGAAGAUAAUCUUUUAAAAGAAAAUGCUUUUUUAAAAACAGACUUAUCAAAUAUAUCAAAGAAAUUUUCUAUAGGGUCUGAAAAACUUGAGAAAAUUCUUUCAGCUCAAAGACCUUACUUCAAUAAGUCUGGUCUAGGUAUGACAGAAGAAACAAUCCCCUUGAUUGAUUUUCCUAAAGUAAAAGAAAGAAUUAAGAAAAGGCUUUCGAGUGAGGUUUACAAAAAUCACUUCAAGAAAGUUUUUGUAAAACCUGUAGGUAGAAAUGCUCUCAGAUGUUCUAAGUGCAACAGUCCGGAUCACUUUGAAAAAGAGUGUCCUAUGGUAUGGAAACCUGUUAAGAAAGUAUGGGCUAAUACUGUUUAUCUUACUAACACCAAAGGACCAAAGAAAAUUUGGGUACCAAAGAAAGCUUGAGACUUUAUUUUAAAUGCAGGUCUCUGUCAAGAAACAGAUAAAGUGGUAUCUUGACAGCGGAUGCUCAAGACACAUGACAGGAGACUCAAAUUGCUUUAUAAAGAUUGCUCAAGUAAAUGGUGGAAAAGUUUCAUUUAGAGGAAACAGCAAAGGAAGUAUUGUGGGAUUUGGAACCGUGAAAAUUGGAACUCUCACAAUAAGUAAUGUUUCCUUAGUGGAAGGACUCAAUUACAAUCUUCUCAGCAUUAGUCAAUUGUGUGAUACUGGUUUCAAGAUCUUCUUUCAAGAAGGAACAUGUUCUGGAAUCAGUAAAGACUCUACUCAGUCUUUCAUGGGUCGAAGACAUGGAAAUAUCUAUCUUCUGGAUGUGAAACCAAAUGAAUCGCAAUACCUUAUCUCAAUUCAAGACGAAGCAAGCUUAUGGCACAAAAAGCUUGGUCAUGUCAACAUGAAGCAAUUAGCCAAAAUUUCUUCAAAACAGCUUAUUCGAGGACUACCCAGAUUGCCAUACCAAAAGACUGAUUCAUGCACUCCAUGUAUUCUGGGAAAGCAGGUAAGAAAUUCUUUUAAGCCAAUUAAUUAUGUCUCUACUAAUCAUGUACUACAGUUGCUGCAUAUGGAUCUCUUCGGACCAACCAGAACUCAAAGUAUUGGGGGUAAGAAGUAUUGCCUAGUAAUUGUUGAUGAUUACUCCCGUUUUACUUGGGUAUAUUUCCUUGCAAGUAAGUCCGAAACCUUUUCGUAUUUUGAAAAAUUUGCUAAAUUGGUUCAAAAUGAAAAAGGAUGUGUUAUCUCUAGUAUAAGAACAGAUCAUGGAGGUGAAUUUGAAAAUCAAGAUUUUACAAAAUUCUGUGAUGAAUCUGGCUGUAAGCAUGUGUUUUCCUCUCCAUAUACUCCUCAGCAAAAUGGAGUUGUGGAAAGAAAGAACAGAUCUCUUCAAGAAAUGGCUAGAACUCUUUUAAUUGAAAGUAAAAUUUCUUCUCGAUUUUGGGCUGAAGCUGUUUCAACAGCUUGCUAUAUCAUCAAUAGAGUCUUCUUAAGAUCUAUUCUUCAGAAAACCCCUUAUGAGUUAUUCAAAGAAAAGAAGCCUAUUGUUUCAUACUUUCAUGUAUUUGGUUGCAAAUGUUUUAUACUGAAAAAUGCAAAAGAUCGAGUUGGUAAGUUUGAAGAAAGAUCAAAUGAAGGUAUCUUCCUUGGAUAUUCUACAUCAAGCAAAGCCUUCAGAGUCUAUAACAAGAAGAGCCAGUCUGUGGAGGAGUCAAUGAAUGUCAAAUUUCAAGACUCAACACAAGAUGAAUCAAGUCAGACUCAUCAAGAAGAGUCUGAACCUGCUCCAGAUCUUCCAAAGCUUACAACUCAAGAAGCAUCUCAGACUCUGGAAAACCAGAAUAAGGAUGUUCGUGAAGAUUCAAUCAAAGAGAGAGAUCAUCAAUCAGACAAAUCAACAAGUAACUGGAAGCAUAAGUCCAGUCAUCCCAAAGAUCUUAUAAUCGGCGAAAUAAAUGAAGGAAUUCGCACCAGAUCCAAAAGGCGAUAAGAGUCUAGUGCUGUGGCACUCGUUUCUGAAAUUGAACCAAAGAGCAUAGAAGAAGCUUUAUCUGAUGAAAGCUGGAUUGAAGCUAUGCAAGAAGAGCUCAGACAGUUCAGCAUAAAUGAUGUUUGGGAAUUGACGUCCAAACCAAAAGGUAAAACUGUUAUUGGAGCUAAAUGGGUUUUCAGAAACAAGAUGAACGAGAAAGGAAAAGUCGUACGAAAUAAAGCAAGACUCGUGGCCAAGGGAUAUACGCAAGAAGAAGGAAUAGACUAUGAUGAGACUUACGCUCCAGUGGCAAGGUUAGAAGCUAUUCGACUAUUACUUGCGUUUGCUUGUUAUAAGAAUUUUAGGUUAUUCCAAAUGGACGUCAAAAGCGCCUUCCUAAAUGGAUUUAUCCAUGAGGAAGUUUAUGUGGAACAACCACUAGGGUUUGAAGACCCAAAGAAGCCAAACUCAGUCUUCAGACUGAAAAAUGCUUUGUAUNNNNNNNNNNNNNNNNNNNNNNNNNNNNNNNNNNNNNNNNNNNNNNNNNNNNNNNNNNNNNNNNNNNNNNNNNNNNNNNNNNNNNNNNNNNNNNNNNNNNGGUCUAAUCAUUAGAUCAAUAACAAAUCUGCUUCAUGCGUACAAAUCUGGGCAUGCGCAUGGACGGAUGAUGCUCAUUCCAUGUACUAUAAUAUCAUGGACCGGGGAGAUAUAAGAUCUUGUGCAAAUAGAACCAAUCGCACUGUAUUAAAGCCACGUUCCAUCAGGGAAUGGAGAAAGUAACGACAAGUUACAGAACGAUGUCAUUGGACAAAAUAAAGUAAGUUAUGGGACCUACUUGCACAUAAAAAAGUUGAAGGAAGAAAUUGAUAGCAGUUCUCAAUCAAUCACAUUCUAUCACAGAGACAAUAACAACUUGUGGGUGUCCAAUUCUGCCAAAAUUAACAUGUUUGUUGCCUUGAGGUCUCUGGAUGAUGGGCGGCUUCCAGCCAGUAUGUGGACAAUCCAAACCUGCAAUAUUUGCGAAAUCUCCUUUAACUAUGCAGAUAAUUGCUUGCUAUAUUUGAAUGAUCUGGAUCGCUGCGUCUCUUCUUUAGAUUCCCCAAAAGUUACCAAUGAGUACUGCAUCACAACUUUUGAAGUUCGCCAAGCAGACUUUCAAGGUAAAUCUCCCUAAGAUAACGGCUUUACGAUCUGUCUAUCAUGCUUAUGGCUGCAAUUCUUGUCUGUCUAUUCUCUCGCUUUCUUGUAGGAUCACUUUGUGACUUGCCAGAACUUACAAGGAAAACAUGGUUUCAAGGGACACAGUGGGCUCUCGCGAAGGUAAAAACAGACAAGUUGCCACCUUGUCUUUCUU